This 70404-nucleotide long non-coding RNA is filed under the name Brassica rapa (field mustard). RNAcentral describes it as "long non-coding RNA (BRAP_LNC000753)". Lineage: Eukaryota; Viridiplantae; Streptophyta; Magnoliopsida; Brassicales; Brassicaceae. The record is from RNAcentral.
UCCCAACAUCAACAGCAACGGAAGCAUUUGCCUUGAUAUCCUGAAAGAACAGUGGAGUCCUGCUCUUACCAUAUCCAAGGUUUGACCUUUGUAUCUCUGUCAACCUUUUUAAACACAAAGAAGACUGUUUCUGUUUGUUAAUCCGAGUGGUGAUGAUGCUCUGGAUACAGGUUUGCUGUCGAUCUGCUCAUUGCUGACAGACCCGAACCCAGAUGACCCUCUUGUGCCAGAGAUUGCGCAUAUGUACAAGACGGAAAGACCAAGUACGAGUCAACAGCUCGAAGCUGGACGCAGAAGUACGCCAUGGGAUGAUGAAGACUCAGGUCGAAGACAAGCAAAAGCAUAACGUUAUUUCUCAUCUAGAUAUAUUGAACUGCAUUUGUUUGGUUUAGUAAACGCUAUUAUUAUGUGAUCAUAAUUGAGCAACUUAUAUGCUAUUGCUCUUACUCGUGUUCCAACUGAUAUCAUUAUUAUUCACGUUACUUAAGGUUUUAAUCAUCGAAUUACCUCUCCUCAUUUGCUUGUGUAUGAAAUUGCAAUUGCAAAAACCUUGUGAAUAGCUAAAAUUUGGAAAAAUAUUCUGUUUCAAUUUAAAAAAUUGCAACAAAUUAUGAGAAAAAUCUUCUCUAAUGAUUUCAAGAAUAGUUGAUGUAAGGCACAUGCAUAUACACAUUCGUCCUCCUAAUGCUAAGGAAGUUGAUGAAAAGACUACUAAAAGUUUGGUCUGAGGUUGAUUUUCAAAACUUUAAAGAAUAAAGAAACGUAGAAUAUUGUUUGAGCCAAAAAUAUAUAUUUUUGGUCGCUGAAAAUGUCAAAAAGAAUAAUGUUUUUUUUUAAACGCUUUGUAACAUCAUUACAGAGAUAGGAACAACUCGAUCUCGUACUGAUUCAUUUGAGUAAAUAGUACUCAAAUAGUCAACUCUCGUUGAGCGUUUUUUUGGUUGUGAACUCUUACAUUUGUAUCGUAAUCUAACGUAAAAAAUAAAUUAAAAUGCGUUGACUACUGACAACGAUGACGGUUUGGAUAAUUUGUUUUCCAAUCUAUAAAUAUUCUCUUAAUUGGCAGCUAACAACAAACCAGUCACGUUUUGGAGUGCUUUACUACAAAUCUCUUUAAUUUAUUUUUCUGAUCUAUCAAAUUUCUCUUCAACAUGCGUUCUUACUUUUACAUUUGGUUGUGGUGCUUAACAACCUAUUAGUGAUGCACAUUUCUUCUAUGGGCUUUUAAGUUUCAUCUUAAGCCAACAAUAUAACCUAUUUUGUUGCAUAAUGGGAGUGGAUUAGCAAAUUAAAAUUGAGGGAUAUAGUAAGAAACUUAAUCUUUCAGUCGAAAAGGUUGUUCGAAAAAUGAGUGGUUAUCACUACAAUUGUUAAAAAAAAAUUGUUGCAAGGGAGGCUAUGUCGUAUUUAACACUGAUGCUACUUUCGUCCAAAAUGUUAUGGUUUCAUGUGAGGUCAACGAUAUAGGCUCCCCUGCGACAAAUCUUCUUGACAAUUCAAAAUUUCUUCAGUCAGAAAUUAAGUUUCUUACGCAUAUCCCUUAAUUUUAAUUUGUUCUACAACUGACAAGAAGAUCUAUCGUUAAAAAGAUUUAUACUCUUGUGAAGUCUAUCUGACAAUGUAAAGGUGAGUAAUGAGUACAUAUGAGACUGAUAGAUUGGAAAAACAAAUCAAUGAGAUUUGUAGCAAACCAUUCGAGUAAUAUUGAAAUAAUUAGACUACUUGCGUUGAUUACUCUCUUUGUCCAAACAUCAACAGCAUUUGCUUUGAUAUCCUGAAAGAACAGUGGAGUCCUGCUCUUACCAUUUCCAAGGAUUGACCUUUUGUAUCUCUGUUACCUUUUUUUAACGCAAAGAAGACUUUUCAGCCGAUUAUGUUUAUUAUUUAUUAAUCCUGAUGAUGAUGAUUAUUUAGGUAUUACUGUCGAUUUGCUCAUUGCUGACAGACUCGAAUCCAGAUGAUCCUCUUGUGCCAGAGAUAGCUCAUAUGUACAAGACUGAUAAAAACCAAGUACAAGUCAACUGCACGAAGCUGGACACAGAAGUACGUCAUGGGAUGAUAAGACUCAAGUGGUCUAAAAUAAGGAAAAAGCAUAAACGUUAUUUCUCAUCCAAAUAUAUUAAAACUGCAUUUGUUGGCUUUAGUAAACGCUAUUAUGUGAUCAUAAUCGAGCACAACUUAUAUGCACUUACUCCUCUCUCGUGUCUUAUUUCAACAAUUGAAUAUGAAAACUUAUGAAAAGUACACGUAGAAUCCCAAUUCUGUAUUACAUCUGAGUUGGAGUGAGACACAUACACAACAUAUAAAGAAGACAGAUAACAAAAAAUGUGAUAAAGCAAACACAUUAUAAGGUUGCUUUAGAUUGCUCCACACAUCACUGACCAUAAAUAUCAAAUUUAUUAAGAAAUAUACAAAUUUUUGAAAAUACUAUAGGUGCAUGCACACCCAAUGUGUCUUAAGUGGUUGCCUAGAACUACAAUUCCAAUGUGCAAAUGCAAAGGUUCUUGAAAAAUAUUGAAAGAAGGUUCUCUGAGUUACCAAACCUUUCAAUGUGCAAAAGCAAAAAGCUAAAAUCCUUUGACAUCUUUCUUAUUAUUAACAUCCCACAUCGUGGGAUUGUAGUGUCAUUGGACAAUAUAUAUGUGUAUGGGCAAUCCUCCACUCUUGAACUAAUUUUUGGGUGUGAGUUAGGCCCAUCACUUAUACAUACUACUCGACACAAAGAUACAAACAGAUCAGUAACGUUGAAACCUUAUAAAUGUGAUUGUUGUUGUACAAAUCUCAACUCUUUCUUUUAGAAAAAUUCACCGUACAAUAAAGUAAAGAAUAAAAGCUAUAUAUAUGUGUGUGUGUGUUUUAAUAUAUUAACAUAUAAAUGUUGAUUUUAAAAUAAUAAAAGUGAAAAUAAGUUCUUUUUAGAUUAUGAAUAUGAUAAAAUAUUCGAUGAAAUUAUAUAUUAUGAUUCAGAUAUAAAUAAGUAGUAUAUUAUAAAAUUAUUAUUUCUUUGAUAAAGAUUUCAUUUGUAAAUUUAUAAAAUAUAAAAUACUCUGUAAAUAUAGCAUUUCGUAUAGGACUCCCAAAAUUUCAGGACCGGUUUUGCCGACAAACCCCAAUCCAGAUGAUUCUCUUGUGCCAGAUAUAGCUCAUAUGUACAAGACGGAUAAAACCAUGUACAGUCAACUGCACGAAGGUGGACAUAGAAGUACCCCAUGGGAUGAUAUGAUUCAAGUGGCCGAGACAAGCAACACAUAACGUUAUUUCUCAUCCAAAUAUGUCAAAACUGCAUUGUUGGGGUUACACUAUUAUGUGAUCAUGAUCGAGCAAUUUAUAUGCUCUCACUCCUCUUGUCUGUCUUAUUUCAACAAUUUAAGAGACAAAACUCAUGAAAAAUACACCUAUGAUCAGGGGCGAAUCCUGAACGUCUUCUCACUAGGCGCACAAUGCUAUACUGACUACUGAGUAUAAGCUUAUAAAUUUCAAUGUGCGUAAAGUAUAGUGAAAAAUUAGGCAUUGGUUUUAGAGUCUCCAUAUAAUCUGAACUUUUAGUGCCUUAGAGCAUCUCCAAUGGUAAACUUCGUUUUUUUUUUCAAAAAUGAAGAAUCAUGUUUGUCAAUGGUUUGCUUCAUUUCUUUCUUCAAAAAAAAAAAUAUUCCAAGUAUAUUCUUUUUCUGUUUUAUCAUUAUUUAUCAAAAACAUUUUUUACUUUUGCUAGUUUACUAAUUUUACCCAAGUUUUUAUUUAACAAUAUUUCACCACAAUUGCUAAUUAAUAUUAAAUAGAUAUUAUCAUACAGUAUAAUUAUUAACACCUUGGAAGAAGGAAAUAAAAAACUAUUGGAGAAAUUAGAGAAAACAAGCGCACAAAGACGACAAUGUUUAGAGAUUCAAAACAAGACUUAUGUUUUGAAGAAGUUUAAAGAAGAGAACGAAAUUUUAUUUCGUGAUUUGAACUUCAUACAAGAUCCUAAUGUUCGUGCAUACAUUCAAUCUGAGCAAAAUCAAAUUUUAGUAGAAAGGAGUGAACAACAACAAGCUCAACAGCCUUCUCAGGCAGCCACUUCAUUUGGACAAUAUUUUAACAAUCUUAGUGGAUCUAAAAAAUGAUUUACGAUAUUAUUAAGUGUUAGUUUAUGAUGUGCUAAGUUUUUUUUUUAAUUUAGAUUGGUGUUUAUCAAGUCUUUCAGUUUUUAUAUAAUUUAUGUAAUUGUGUUUCAUCUAAUAUUAGUAAAAAAACAUGUUUCUAGUAUAUUUAAUAUUUUAAAUUGAUUGAAUAAAAAUAAUAAUAAAAACUUUAAAAGUAAGUUGAUAAUAUUAGCUCUUAUAGUUUAUUUAAGUAAAAACUAAGAACAAGUUAAAGUUGAGGGACCAAUCUGUAAUUAAAAAAUGUAUCUUCAAAAAAUAAAGAAAUAAAGAAAAAAAUGAAGAAAAAAAUGAAACAAAAAAUAAAAAAUGAAGCACCAUUGGAGAUGCUCUCACAUAAUAAAAUUUCAACAUAACCAAUCCUCAUUUUUAGUUACAGUAAGUACUUUUAAUUAAAUUGUUAUGUUGCUACUAAAUAUUUAGUAAUUAGUUUUAAGAGAUGCUUUUAAUCUUUGCUUUUUAUACUUUUUAUAAUUAGUUUUUUAAGUAUAUAGAAUAUCAGUUAUGUAAAUAUUUUAAUAUUUUAAUUUACUUUAGACCUCUAGACUGCUUCGCACAGAACUGGCCAUAAAUUAUCAAAUUAUUAAAAAUAUACAAAUUUUUGAAAAUAUUAUAGGUGCAUGUGUACUCAAUAUUGUCUAGUGCCUAGAAUCCCAAUGUGCAAAGGUUCUUGAAAAUCUCGAAAGAAUGUUCUCUGAGCUACUAAACCUUUCAAUGUUCAAAUGCAAAAAGCUAAACUCCGUUGACAUCUUUCUUAUACAUAUUACUCGACACAAAGAUACAAACAGAUAGUGACGUUCCGAACCUUAUAAUGUGAUUGUUGUAAUUGUACAAAUCUCAACUCUUUCUUUUAGAAAAAACUAGAUUGUUUGUCCGCGCUACGCGCGGAAAGGUAUUUUUUGAUAAAAAAAUUAUUACGGAAAUUAAAAUAUAGCAUGGAAAUAAAACUGUAUUAAAAUGUUUGGAGAAUUGUGUACGAAAUAAAGAGGAGUUUGUUUAUUGUUUAACAACGUAGACAAAAGAAAAAAUGGUUGUGCUGCAGAAGAGUGGGCUGGAGGGAUAUUGGAGUCAUGUACUUUGUAGAGUUCCUUAGUAAUCUUUUGGUGGAAGAAGCUUAUGUGAUGUUUUUCCCAGUUGUUUGGUGGCUAAAGGGCUGCCAAUCAUUUAAAUGGAAACUGUUGAUCAUAAUAUAUGAGAUAUAGAUGUUGAAAUUAUCAUAGAAUAUUUUUUUUUACCGUUGUGAGCUGGGAGAUAUAUAAAGAUUUCUUUAUAGACUAUAUUCUUCACUUUCUCUACGUGUGAACUCCGAUCUUAUGCAUAAAACCAUCUAUUUAAUGAACAUAGUUUUUUCGAUGUCAGGUUUUCGGAGAACACGCCCCAGAUCAUAUGUUUCUUUAACUGUGAUAUUAUGUUCACCUUCCAAGUGAAUGAUUAGCUUUUGGACUGAUGGUUUCCUUUUGUGAAUAUGGAAUGCAAACAUUCACCACAUAGACUCACAAGCUGUUAAGUAGCGACAGUCGAUGAAGUCUUGGAAUGCCCUGCAUAGAGCACAGUGUGGUGUAAAUGUGAAUAAUUAUUUAUUAUAUUUUAUUCACAAUUUUGUAUUACAAAGUCUUUAGAAUUACCUGCUUUAAAAUAUAUAUAUAUAGGUUUUUGUAUUUAUUAUUUGGUUGUGUUAAGAAUUAUUAUACUCGUUUUUUGAAUUAGUAUGUAUCUAUAUCUAUAUUAUUAUUUGCGAAAUAAAUUUUUACAACGGAGCUCUCACGUUAAAAGUUAGAACGGUUAAUAUCGUUUAUACCCUUAAUGAAUAAUUAUAUAAAUUAGUAGAAAUAUGAAAACGAAUUUCAAAUCUAUCUGAUUAAAAAAUGAUUAAAAUUAAUAAUAAAUCGUUUAUACCCUUAAUGAAUAAAUUAUAUAAAUAGUCAAAAAUAAAAACAUGUUUUAAAACAUAAGAUAAUUGUUAGAUAUAUUCUGUUGUUAUCUGAAAAUAAUAUUUUAUUAUAAAAUUUAUAGUUAGAUAUAAAAUAAUUUAUAAUUAAAUGCUAAUCAAACAAAUAAAUAUAUUUUCUAAAAUAUAUGUGAAUGUCUUUAAAAUUUAACACACACAAUAAGCAUAUAUAUUUUUUGAUAAAAAGUAAUGAAUAUAUAUUAAUAAUAUUUUAUUUUAUGUUAUAUCUGAUAAUUGACUAUAAGUAAAUAUAAUAAAAUUCUCAAAAAUAAAAUAAAUUUUUAAAACAUAAGAUAAUUCUUAAAUAUGUUGUAUUUUUAUCUGAAAUAAUAUUUUUAAUUAUAAAAUAUAAAUUUUAAUGUUUUAUUUUAUCUUUUUAAAAAUAUAAUUAAUAAUUUAUUAUGUUGGUUUUGAUUUAAUAUUUAUAAAAGGAUAAAUAUCUAUAAAAAUACUAUGCCCGCAUGUGCGGGCGGAACACCCAGUUGAAUAUAAUAUUUAGUGUAAAUGUUUGGAAUAUUUUGUGUAAACGUUUGGAAUAUUUUUUUAGAUAUAAAAGUAUAAAUUAUGCUAAUUUGAAAAAGUAUAACUUAGUAAUAGUAGAGUAUAAUUAUUUGACAUUAAACUUCUGAACAGAUAGUAGUCUAUAUUUUCUAAAAACCAUGUAGGCAUAGUUUGAUUCAUAAUAUAGUAUCCAAUGUGUAUAGUUUUUUUUUUUUAAAUGUUUACCCUAGGGAGGUUUUUAAAGUGGUAAUUUCUAAAUUUAUUUUAUUUUUAUUUUUUCCAUCAUUAACCUUUGAGGAAUUCUGUAAACCUAAUUGAUUAAAAAUACAAAAUAUUCAAUACAAUAGUUUUUUUUUUGGAUCCACCUUUACACUAAAUUUGUGUUAAAACUUACAUCUGAUUACUUUGGAAACUGGUGUAUUUUUUUGAAUUUUUUUUGGUGGCUUUUAAAACAUGUGUUGAAACAUCUUGGUUUUAAUGUCCUCGGCAAUUGCAGGGAAAAGAAACAUUUCCUUCAAGUUGGUAGGUAAAUCUGAAAUAUUUUUACUGUAAUACCUAAUAUUUAUGUCCACUGACUAAAAUAAGUAUGCUAAUAUAAUUUGAAUAGACAACAAUGGUGAAUUUAUAAUCAAGUUCUCAAAAAGGUCUGUUGAAUAGUUUGAUAUAAAGAUAACUUUUAUAAUUUGAUUGUCUCAUUAGACUUAGCAUAUUAAUCUAAUCUAUUAAAAUAGAGUCUUAUUUUUUAUCUACCAUUUACAAGUUGUCAUUUAGUUUUGGACUUCCUUUAGAAUAGCACGUGUUUGGAUAUAGAAAUGUGUUUGGUUCCUUGGAUAUAUCAACUUAUUACAACUUAGUUUAAACCAACAGAGAAAUAAUCUUAUCAUCGAUCAAACAAGUUUGGUUCCUUAAAUAUAUCAUCAUUACUUAAUUUAAACCAACCUCAAAACAAAUAGUACUUCGGUUAUCUAUCAUCUACAAAUAAAAUAAGAAGCUCAACGUUUUAUAAAUGUGCAUCAGUUUAACAAUACAAGUGCGACCUUUGUAUACAUUUAUAUUACAUUCAUUAUGUCCACCCUACGUACCUUAGACUAAACCAACUUUAUAAUUUGCUUCUCUUUACUUGCCACGUUCUCCACCUGGUACACCAACUCAAUUCAGAUUUGUCAAACUUUCAUCAUUCCAAAAAUAGUCACCACGUAUACAUUUACAUGACUUUGUGUAAUGCACCAUUCCAUGCAGUAAUCUACUUAAAGAAGAGUUCAUAAUAUAUCAUUCUAGGCUCCUAAGUAUUUAUGUUGCAUGGUGCAUUACACGAUAAUUACAACCUCAAUAUAUCAAUGUAAAUUAAAAACAGAAUGUAUACAUAUAAAAAUGAUCAAUUUUGUAAAUUAGUUACACGAAAUAUUCUAACAACAAUAUAUAUAUAUAUAUAUAUAUAUAUAUAUAUAUAUAUAUAUAUUAGCUCAAAUCUACACUAACUUAUCAAUAUUUAUUCGUAUAUAUCUUCUUAGAUAUUCAAAUUAAAUAAGAUUCUUAGAAUUAUUUCUUCCCUGAUAUUUUAGAGUUAGGUAUUAACCAACUUUCUAGCUAUAUUUUAAAAUUAGAUAUCUUAACUGACAUCAACCGAUUUCAAAAUUUAUGGAUCGAUACUUGAAAAAGAAUAUACCUAGCGAGACAAACAAAUGUUAUGCUACGCUAUAAAUUAAAGCCGAACCCCAUAAUACAACUCACAUCACCAAAAACAUCUAAGACUCAAAUGGCCAUUUAUAAAUUUGACCAAACUAAAGUAGAUAUGGUAUUAAUAUGGUUGAUAUUUGUAUAAACCAAAAUACCGAAAAACAAAAAAAAAAACUAAACUGAACCAUAAUCUUGAUUGGACACCCCGUAAAACUUUAUAUUUAACACAUAUAUUAUAAUUUCACAUUAGGUACAACACAUAUUAAACAUAAAUUAAUUAUUUACAUGUAAGAAAUUAUAAUUUAUAUAUAUGUAAAAAAGUAUAUUAUAUCCACAUAUUAUAUAACAAAAAAUCAAAAACACAUAAAUAUGAAAUGUAAAUAAGCAAUCUCAAUAAUUAUUAGAAAGAUUAGUCAAAGUAUAUCCGCGCACAGCGCGGGUCCAUAUCUAGUUAUAUUUUAUUACUUGGUUUAGUAAUAUUCUCAUACCAUGGGGGAAAUAGCGAAGCUGUAGAAUAGCUUGAUAUAAUAAUAACCAUACAACUAUGUAUCUGUGUGUAUACUGGCAUACUUAUAGGAAACCAUUUAGCCAAAUUAAUAGUUACUAACAUCUAACAUUUAUAUGUUGGCCAAGCGUGGUUUGGCUAUGCUUUCCAGAGUUUGGCUUCUCUUAGUGUUCUAUAUUUUUCGUAUAUACUCACUGGAAACACAACCUGUGUGCCAGGGAACUAAACAAAUCAAUAGGUAGACAAAAAAAACAAAAUUCUAUCCUAUGAUAAUCAGUCUUUUUGGAAAAAAAUUCCACAAAAAAAUAUAGUCUAAUUUUUUUAGACAAAGGGGACUUAAUCUAGGUGUUUUUGUUUUGUUUUCAAAUAUCGAGGGAGAUAUAAAACUUUUAAUCCACGUUCAAUGAAAAUCAAAACUUGUAUUAAGAGUAAAAUCAAGCUAAUGAGUGACAUAGACUUCUAUUGAGAUAAUAUAUUGGCUCUGGUUUUUAAGGUAAGGAUUUACAAAUAUGGAAAAAAAUAUUCAACUUAAUUGUGCAAUUGAUUCUUUUGAUAUGGGGCAUAAAUCAAGGCAUCUACUUUAUUAAAACAGAAGUACAAAAUAGAAAUACCCCUUAGUUUUACUACUUAUUUACAUUAGAAUGCCAUUGAUGUAUUUAUUGAACCUAUAUUUAAGCAUGCUUGUCUUUUCCUAAUUUAAAUCAUAGAUUUAAGCAUUUAAUAUCUUUCCAAAAUUUAAAUAAUAGAUUUCCUUUAUCAAAUCAUAACCAAAAUAAAUUUCCUAAUAUAUUUCGUAUUAACAUACUCAAUAUUUUUAAUAUUUAUAAGUAAUAAAUAAUAAAAUAAAAAAUCACACAUCAUAAUCAAUUUAUAUAACAUAUAAAUAAAAUAUAAAAUAGUUUAUUCAUAUAUUAGUAUAAUGCUUUCAUAAUAUAAGUCCAAUUAGUUAUAAAUAUUGGAUUUGUUUAUAUGAUACAUUGUGAUAUAAUAGACGAUUAAAAUCACAAAAUAUAAUUAUUCAAAGUAAUAAAUAAAAUUGUUAUGUUUAAAAAUGUUAUAUUAACAGUUAUGUAAUAUAUUUUAAUUUACAUAUAUAUAUUAUACCAUUAGUACAAAGAAAAAAAUUAAAGUGAAAGAAAAUAUUUAUACGGUCACGGGUCAAGCUCUAGAAAUAAAUAACAACAGUAAGAUUAUUUUUCUUUAACAAAUUUCUUUUAAUUGAAAUUAUAGUUCCAAAUAAGUUUAUAUAUUUUAUGUAUUUAUAAAUUUAUUUUCUUUGUCUUUAAGGAAGCUUAGAUUUUGAAAUUGAAAAAAAUAUGACCGCCUCUAUAUUAUUUUAAUUACGAAAUUUAAAAUUUAUAUCAGAAUAUUUUAUUAAACUUUUAAUUUUUAUUUUUAUUAUAACUAUAAAGAUUAAUUUUCAAUAUGAAUUUAUGUUUUAAUAUUACAAAUACGUCAUUUAAUAUAAACAAAAAAAAAACUAAAAACAUAAAAUAAAUACCCGCCCGGUCGGGCGGGUCAAGGUCUAGUUAGAUAUUAUUUGGUAGCACUAAUUUGGGUCCGGUAAUUUAAAAAAAAAAGUUAGUACCAUGCUUUUAACGUGAAACUCAUGCUGAUUCAAAAAAAGUUAGUACCAUACUUUAAAAAACAAAUUGUUUCCAAAAUAGAUUCAAAAGUAUGAAAUAAGCAGAAUUAGGAGAAAGAGUCAAACAAAAGCCAAAAAAACUGGAAAGCUAAAACAGAUAAGUGUAGUAAAAGUUGCAUUCUUUGCCACGAUGAGAGGCAUAUUAGUUCCCAUCUUUAGAACGUUUAGCGUUGCCUAUCUCAACACCAUCACCCAUCCUUUUCAGCACUACCUCUGCAGAAUCUUGAGGGCUUUUGGAUGGCUCAAUAACGUCAUACCCAGUCGCAAGUGUUCCAUUACCAGAGCCACUAAUUUGAUCAGCAACUGGAUCUUGUGUAGAUGGUGGAGCAGAUGGGGACAGGACAUUCGUCACGGUUAUUACCCGCGUCCUGCCUGAAAAAUUGUGCUCAGUCACCUUUACAUUGAACUUGUGUGUUUGCCCUAUUGUGUUGAGCAAAACUUGCGGAACGGGCACCUCGAAUCCAUUUUCUUUAUUUCCAUUGGCCUGGCAUGUUUUAAAAUAGUUGUUAUCUGAGACCGUAAGUGUGUAAAUAAUGAGUUUGUACCUCAAAAUAAUUGAGUUUGUACCUCAAAAUAAUUGCUAACCAACUCCGACGCAUGCUUCCCUGUUAGCUCACGACCGGCAUCGCCAAGGAGAACAAAAACAGCCUCAUCACUCUUAUCAUAAACAUAAAUCUUAGCUAGGUAUCUGGCAUUAAAAUAUUAGCAGUUAGUCACCGCUAAACUAAAAUUGAAUCAAGGGGUUAGAGUUCAUACUGUGGUUCACCGGCAACAUCGUUCUUGCCACAUUUCGCGCACAUAAGGGAGGUUGGCCCUUUGGUUGCCUUUGUUUUGCACCCACCGCAUGCUAUAUAAUACCAAGGAGAGUCGUGGACAACAUCAUCAAUUGUCGCAGUGCACACAAAGAAAGCAUCCUGAGACAAUGUGUAAGCAAUUAAGAUAAGUACAAAUAUGUUAAACAAUGAAUUAGAAACAAAUAUAAUUUUUUAUACCUUCACAGCUCCCUGCUUCAUGUAGGAGAAUAUUUCUUCAAUAGUCAAUGUCUCAGUUUUUGUAACCACAUCUGCAUUGACCUGCUUGGCAAUAUAUGGAUUUCUUCCCAACCUGCUCCAACGUUUGAAAACAUUUCAUAACUCAAACUGAUUGUAACUGGCAAGGGUUCUAAUUAUUAUAUACUAAAUUUUUAAACAUACCAGCCGAUAUACUCUUUAGUUGGUUAGACCUUGUAGUCAAAAAGACCCGUGAGGAGGUCAUGGAUGUGAGAGCAAGUGUGCCUGUAGUAUUAUGUUGUCAUAGACAAAGGCAAACGAAACAGAGAAUAUACAUAUUAGUUCUUUGUUUAUGCUUUUACUCUCUAUGCAAUAUUUAUAAAAAUUAAACAACUACAAAGAGCAAAGCUAAACGACUGCGAUGACACAGAGGUAAAGUAUAUGGGCUAUACAGAGAAUUUAAGAUUGUAAGGUGCGAUUCAGUCUGAGAUAGUGAAAAGUGUACCUCCUAAACGUUUGGGGUAAACAGUAGUCACCAAAAUCAUGGAGGGAGUGUUGUCAGAAGACUUGAACUUCUUGCAGAAAUCCACAGCAGCUUGGUCCCAAAGAUAGAGCUUCAUAACAGGUCCCCUGCAAAUGAUUAACAUUUUCAGUUUUGGAAAAUACCAUAGUGUACUGUGUGAUUUGGACAAAAAGGUAAACGUAAACACUUACGCAUGCGACUGCACAUGCACCAAUAUACGCCGAGUGGUUGCGAGCUCGGCAUCGUCAAUGAAGGGAUGCAUAUUGAGGCUCUAGCCGUUAACCAGUUUCAAGUGUCCAAUAACAUCUGGUACAGGUUGAGAAGCAGAAUGUUGUUGAGAAAGCUUAUAAUUAAUAAGUUAUGAAUUUAAGAUAACACCCUAAUCUAAAAUCAGAUACUGUUUUUUGUAGAUAGUUAGCUACUAAUUGUGAGAUACUGUGUACAAAAUAACAAACCAAGUAUGUGGAAGCAACAUAUUACUAAAUGAUAGAAAACUUACCGUAAAGAUCACCUUUCAUAUCACAGCCAGCUUCGAAGUCUUCAUAGGAAUGGAACCGGAAACGGUCCUCCUCAAAGUCCACAGGACUGUUCUCAAGGGGUGCCAACUCGGAAGUGUGGGAGAAGGAGAUUGUCACGCUGUGAGCAGCAACCCGGAACACCUCUUUGUUUCUGAAUCCGUAGAAGUUGGUGAGAGUGUAGAGACCGCCUUGUCUCAUAUGUGGCAUGAAUUUUUUGAUUCUUCCCGGUGGGACAAAGCCUUGAAUAACGGUCUCCUGCAAACAAAUGAAGUUCGAGCGUAAGUGAAAAAAAAAAAAGAAUUAACAUAAUUAAAAUUCAAAAGAAGCUCUCCAAAGCGGUUUCAAAGUUAAUCAAAAGAGAGUUUAAGUUUGGGGGAGAAGAAUGAAUGAAAUACCGAUUUCACAGGGCUUGUUUCUCUGAGUUCGAUCAUGUACUCAGCCAUCUUCUCUCCAAUCCCCUGCGAGAAAGACAUGAAACAGAGCCAUGUGAAGAAGUUAAACCAAUGUUGACUACGGAAGCAGAGAUUAUGUAAAUUCAUGCGGCUUUACGUUAUGUAGAUGUAUUUACCCAUAAAUGUGAAGCAUCAGGAGUUUCUCCACCAAAUAAGUUCCUGGCGCUCACAAAUGCGUUCCUGUGUACGGGUACAUUAUGAGGGAAGAGGUUCUGGCAUAUGGAACAAUUAAUAAACUCAACCAUUCAAAGGGGUACCUCUGUCCUUUGCUAGUAAGUUUAGCAUUUUCUGCAACGGCUGAUCUAUAAACUCCGAGUUUCUUGACCCAACUUUGAUUUUUACCUAUCAGCGGAGAACGUAUAGCCAUCAUCCUAUGCGAGCUUUUCGUCUUGCCUUUCGAUUCCAGCCAAGCUUGCAGUUUUGCUUCCAUGUCUACUUUAACCUUGGGGGUCUCAACCUUGGGAUUCAUAGACACAACGUUUGAAAUAUUGAUACUAAAUAUCUUUGACAGUAACAAAAGCAAGAGGUUAAUCACUUAAACAUCAUACGAAGAACAUGAUACUAAAUAUCUUUGACAGCAACAAAAGCGAGAGGAAACAUGCGUCUUGCCGUUCGCUUUAACCACGGCGGAUUGAACGGGAUUAGAUCCGGUUUUCGACUCGCCGUUGCCGUCGGAGAGGAGAUGAUCGAUUUGCUGUUUGGCUUUGUCGACAUAGUGUUUCACUGAGGAGAGUGAGUUUUUGAUUAGGGUUUCUAAAAUGAAAAGGCAUCUUCGUAUAAAUAGGGAUGAAACAAAGAAAACGAAACAAAACUAUCAAUGGAUGAUUGAAACAAAGAAAACAAAGCAAAAUAUUGACAUGCUUAAAGUUUAUCAUAAAGGAGAAAUUGAUUGAAGUAAAGCAUAGAUCUGAACUCAUUCUUCAAGUUUUUCAAUCGGAGAAAACGAAAGGGUAUAGAAGAAGAUGCCGAGUUCGUUUGUUAAUUUGGAAAAAAAGAAUCAGGUCCAAACGUGAAUAGCACAAGUAGGACGAAGCCCACAUGUUGACGUCCAUCUGAUGUGUAAAAAAAAAAGAAUAUGAUUGGUUGAUUAUUUUGUAAUACGUGGCAUAGCUAUAUGAUGAGUAUAUCUUCCUUUUAGUAUAAGAAGAUAGAUCACCGUCCAAACUUGCUGCAUGCGUAAGCGUGACUAUAUUUGAGCCAAAAUAUGUAUUUUGCUCAAAAUGUGAUAAAAGAAUAGUAGUAAAAGCUUGAAUUCUAUAACUGAUUCAUUUAAGUCAAAAAGUCAAUUCUCGUUGUACGUUGUUUCCUUUUGCGUUUUCUCUUAAAUUACCGUAAUCUAAACGUCAAAAAUAUUUUAAUGUACGUUGACAACAAAUCAGUAACGUUUUGGAGUGCAUUACUACAAAAUCUCCUUGAUUUGCUUUUCUAGUCUAUAAAUCAUCUCUUCAACAAAUGCACUACUAACAACAAACCAAACACGUUUUCGAGUAUUUUACUACAAAUCUCACUAAUCUGUUUCUCUACUUUAUCAAUCUUCUCUUCGGCACAUGUCCUUUUGCUUUAAAUUUGUUGACCUGCUUAAUACACUCCAGUGAUACAAUUUUCUUCCGUAGACUUUUAAGUUUUAUAUAACUUAAUGAUAUAAUCUUUUUACGAUAAAUUUUUAUGGCAAUUGUAUGAUAAAUACCCAUUUUUCGUGCCGCUUCUUCAAUUGGAAGAUCAACAUAUUUUGAUUUUCCAAUUGAAUGAGCCGCUCGAAAAAGAAUCUUUGAUCUACAAUUACUAAACUUGAUUAUAAUCGUUAAUUUAAAAAAACUUUAAAUCUGCAGAAAAAACUAUAUCACUGAAAGAGGUUUUAAGCAUGACAACAAAUGUAAAGUGAAAUAAUAGUUGAAGACGAAACCGAUAAUAAAUUGGAGAAACAAAUGAGCGAGACAUGUAACAAAAGUGCUUUAAAUAGUUUUGAGGUAAUUAUAGACAACUUGCGUCAAUUACUCCCUCUGUUCAUCUCACAAAGUAUUAUCUCCUCUGCCCAAAAAAAAAAAAGUAUUAUCUCCAUGUUUAUUCCCUUUGCUUAUUACAUGUUGGAAUCGUUUGAAAAAUAAGUACAAUUUUUUUUUUUGGUUCUUCUAAUUAACUGCUUAAACAUUAAAAGGAAGGAGGGCAGAAGUGUAUUUACACAGAAAGGAGGAGGACAUUUUGGUCUGACCGAGUCAAUAGAGAGAGGGAUUCGUCUCCAGUCAAUGACUCCUAAUUUGGUAUAUUCCUCGUAACGGCGUCGUUUCGUUUCUUCAUUCACCCUAAAAAAACCAGAAAAUUUGGUAAAAUUUAAUCUCUAUCUCUCUCAAUUCUCUGUCAAGACUCAAAACUCUUAACCUUUUUUUUUGUAUGCGUUUAAGCCUCUGAUCGUAUCUGAUCCCCAAAGGUUUGCUGCAAGGACAAUAAAAGAAGAGAAUCGAUCCUCUGUUUUCUGGUAAUUGAGCAUUCAAAUGGGAAGCUGCGUCUCUAAGGUAUUCUAUUACAUUAACCAAACGAAACCGAAACCCUUGUUCUGUUAUUGUCUUUUUUGUCGCAUCAAUAUUUGUUUGUUUAUGAGAUGAUAUGAAAUAAAAAUAAGACCCUUUUGGUUUCAUGCAAACGCAGAACAAAGGAGACGAUGAUACAAUCCAUAACGUUGAUUUUUCUGGUGGCAAUGUUCAUCUCAUAACCACCAAAGAGAGCUGGGAUGAUAAAUUAGCUGAAGCUGGCCGUGAUGGCAAAAUCGUAAUUUUCUCCUAUAUUCUCAAUUCUUAUGAAGUAUCCUUUGUGUGUCUAAUGACUCGCUCUCUCGUUUUAAACAAACAGGUGAUAGCAAACUUCAGCGCGACUUGGUGUGGUCCAUGUAAGAUGUUGGCAACGUUUUACGUUGAACUCUCUGAGAAGCAUCCUUCCCUUAUGUUCCUUCUUGUUGAUGUUGAUGAACUCUGCGUGAGUAGUUUUCCCACCAUCCAUAGCUCUUUUCAGAUUCUCUUCUUCAAUUAAAUCUCAAAUGUUUUUGUUUUAAAUUGUGCAGGAUUUUAGCUCAUCGUGGGACAUAAAGGCAACGCCAACCUUCUUCUUUCUAAAGAAUGGUCAGCAAAUAGGCAAGCUUGUCGGAGCUAACAAGCCUGAGCUACAGAAGAAGGUUACUUCCAUCAUUGACUCUCUACCUCAAAGUCCACAACAGCCUUGACUCAACCUUUCUAUAUUGCUUGUGUAGCAAGUAUCAAAAACUCUUUCUUCUUAUCAAUGUAUGUAAAAUGCCAAUUUUUUUAUUAAAGAACAUUAUGUGUUAGUUCAUCACUACUCAAUAUAAUAUUGAAUCAUCUCUAUGUACAAUUACAUCUGUGAUUAGUUUGAACAGAUUAUAAAAUCCAAAAGCACUUUGACUUGAGUUUUUUUUUUCAAUUAUUAGAUACCUUCAAUAAUAUAAUAAUGUGUUCUCUAUCAAAACAAUUUCUUCACUCUUCUAACAAGAUCUCAUCAAAUCUAAUUAUUAAAUAGGUUUCUUUGGCCAAAAAACAGAUCAAUAUUAAAUUCAUAUUCAUAUGUUUCAUACACUUACUUUGAUAAUUAGAUUUAUAAACAUUUUGUUUUGUUAAGAGAUAGAAAAGAAUAUACAUGUUGAGAAAGAAGCGACCACAAGACACAUAAGAUUAUGUAUAUCUUAUAAACAUCAAAUAUAUUUCCAUCUAGUAGCAUUAGGUUCCUCUACAAAGUCUAUGUGGCUUGGCUGAGGAUUGAACGAGGCGGUCUGACGUAUGCGAAGUUGGUAAAAGGGUUGGCCUUAGGAUCAGACCUUGGACUGUUUGCUGGAGAGUCCAACACAGACAUAUCAGUCCAACACUUGUCAAAAUUCGCUAUACAUUGUCUUCCAGAUACCUCCGGCUUGAAACUUGGCUUCACUUCUCUAGCUUCCAGCUUCUUCCAGUUUAUUCCCUUAAACCAUUUGUGCUCUUUUAUCUCCCCUGCUCCUCUCGGUCCACUUCCAAGUCUUCUCUCUGGCUCUUUUUGCAGCAGCUACACAUUCAACACAAAGUCAUGAUCAGAUUUGGUCAGCUACAAUGCCAAUUCAAAGUACAUGAAGAUAAAUAGAUGAAUGAAACAUUGGUCUUGGUCUCCAAAAUUUUUGGAAAUAUUUUAUCUAAGCAAAAAAUCUAAUAUAAUUUUUUUUUAUAAAAGUUCUUAAUAAAUGUUUAUAGUCUUGUAGAUGAUUGUACUUACCCCUUUUAACAAAGCAUGAGCUUCGGUAGACAGAAACUGUGGAAGUUUGAUCUUGUCCUUGACUAUUUUCUGCUGUAUCUUUCCUCUGCUCCCCAUAAACGGUGGCUGAAGAACACAAAACAAAAAAAUGGCAUCACACACAACACAUAUAAGUUAUGAACUAAACAAAGACCAAUACUACAUUAGGUUUUGUCUUACCUUUCCAGUGAGCAUCUCAUAGAGAAGAAUCCCAACGCUCCACCAGUCAGCAGCUUUAUCAUGACCUUUGCCUCUAACGAUUUCAGGUGCCAUAUACUCAGUAGUCCCACACAUUGAGUUUGACCUUGUGUUCUCUUCAAACUCCUUUGCCAAACCAAAGUCAGUCAACAUCACAUGGCCAUCUGUGUCCAUGAGUAUGUUCUCAGGUUUGAGAUCUCUAUGCAUUAUUCCAUUCUCAUGGAGAUGAGAAACCGCAGAGACUAUCUCUGCAGUGUAGACACGAGCCAAGUCCUCUCUGUCAAAGAAAAACAAAACUAGUCAAGCCUUGAAGAAUUCUAGUGAAACUCCAAAAAAAGAGCAAUGAAGCCAAACCUGAAAAGCCCUUGGUGAUAGAGCUGGAAGAAGAGAUGGCCUCCGUUUAUAAAGUCUAGCACAAGAUACAGCCUAUACUUAGUCUGCAUACAAACAAGAGUAUGUAUUAAUUAUAUAGAAGGUAAAGUCACUACGUACGAUGCAAGGUUGUUAGAAGUGAUGAUUAGUACCUGGAAAGAGUAUUUAAGUUGAACAAUGAAGGGAUGAUCAAUCUUGGUUAGGAUGUCACGCUCAGCUUUCAUGUACUCAGCAUGGUUCUUCUCCAUGAUCUUAUCUUUUCUCAUGACCUUCAUAGCGAAUAUCUCGGACGUGUCCUUCUUCCUCACCUGGAACACUUUCCCAAACGCACCUUGCCCCACAACCUUCAAAACUUCGAAGUCUUCAAUGCCUACUUCACCUGAAACCUCCACCACAUCUCCCUCUGGAGCUUUCUCACUGUCUAAGUCAACGAUGGAAGAAGGGCCAACUAAAGAGUGGGAGCGACUGUGGAUAACAGCAGGCUCGUCGAAAACAACAUCACUGGACUCUUGAGGGAGUGGACCAAAGACAUCAGAGAAGUCAAGGUCAACGUUAUCUUUCAGUGGAGGGGUGAUUGUUAAACACAUGUGUUUCUGUAGCGGCUUCACGUUCUUGCAGGCAACAGGGCACUCAGAGCAAACCAUAUUUUCUAAUCCACAGAGAAAAGACGUUCACCAGUUUUGGUUAGGGUUUCGUGCCAAUGGAGUUAACGAGACUGAGAAUAAACAAACCAAUAUCAAGGAGGAGAAGGUCUUCUUGUUUCCCUAGUUGAAGGAAACAGUGUGUACUGCUGCACAAGUGUCCAAUUGCCAUAAAAGUGGUCUAAGCUCUGCGGUUGAUGAAAUUUAUAACAAGUUUUAGAGAUAAGAUUCAACGAAUCAUAUCAAAAUCUUGAAGUACAGAUAAGAUUUUGACAAGACUUAUCAAAAGAAUAACAAAUGGAAAGAUUCCUUUUUAAUUUACCAAAAAGAUAAGAUUAAGGAAACUUGGCACAUACGGAAUAUCAUUAUUACAUGAUCCUCUCACUCAAAAUAAAUUAUUUAUUUUACGAAACCCUAAUCUAAUCUAAUUUAAUCACCCUGGAGACGUGAUCGAAGUAAAUUCUAGAAGAAAAACAAUUGCAAACAACAACCAAAAUCAAUAUGAUUCAGAUAGAGUCUCAAGUUAGGGAAAAACACAUGAAAAUAUCAAACAAAACCUGAAACGUAAAAGGUUUCUUGUCGUAGAAACAACGCAUGAACUUGAAUAUUUCAUAUCCAGAAACCAAAAAGGAAUAUAAACUCUGCGGUAGGGGAGAAAAGUCAAAGAGAUAGAGAAGAAUAUUACCAGAGAGAGAAGAAGAAGAAGAAGCCUGAGGAAGGAGGAGAUGAGGCGGAACAGUGAAUUUAAAAGGAAUAAUAAUAAGGUUAUGCCCCCAAAACUUCUAGGAAAAGGUUUCAGGUGGCUCCUUUGUUAUUUUCCUUUUUAUUACAGAACAAGCAAACUUGCGAAGCAUCGUGGAUCAAGGGGUUAGUAUACGUGUUCUGCCUUCAUUGGGCGAAAGUUUACAAGUUGUUAAACGCGGCGGAGGUUUUUUUGAAUAUUUAAUUAUUUAUUAACAUCAAUUAUUUGUCUAUUUCCAUAAAUCCAACUCAAGUGGGAUGUAUUUUGGAAAAUAGUUUAUUUUUUCUUUAUUUAAAUCACAUGUUUUUCAAGCAAAAUAGUAGUACUGAUCAUAAACCCCUUAUUAUAUUUCAAAGCAUAUACAAUCAUAUCACAAACACAUUGUGGAUUAUAAGCACAAAACACUAAACCACAUGACUAAGCUGUUGAGACUUUUACCACUUGUAAGGCUUUAAGCCUUUAAAGUAUUUUUAUUACAUUUCCUCUUGUUACGUUCAUGUUUUACAAAAGUCAGCACUCUGUGGCUUUAGACUUUUUUUUUUAGUUACAGUCAACUUCUUAAAGCCUAAAGUUUUAUAAGCAAAAUGUUUUUAAAAGCCACAGUCACAACAGAUGUAAACAAUCGCAGCCUAAGUCGUUAUUCAACAAUUAUUCAAUGAUUUAUGAAAGCCAUAUCAAACAUUAUGCUUAGAAAGUUAAACAACUUUAUUUAGAUAAAAUAUUUCUCUCGACAUACAAUUUUCUUAAAUAUGGAUCAAGCAGCUCAUUUCUUAAAACAGGUUUUAAUAAAUAAAAGAGACAUUAGGUUCUCACAUAUGCUGAAGGAAUGAUGGAGGAGGUCUCACAUAUGUGAAGUUGGUAAAAGGGUUGGCCUUAGGAUCCGAGCUUGGACUGCUUGCUGGUGAGUCCAACACUGACAUUUCAGUCCAGCACUUGUCAAAAUUCGCUAUGCACUGUCUUCCCGAGAUCUCCGGCUUGAAACUUGGCUUCACUUCUCUUGCCUCCAGUUUCUUCCAGUUCAUUCCUUUGAACCAUUUGUGAUCUUUUAUCUCCCCUGCUCCGCUUGGUCCACUUCCAAGUCUCCUCUCUGGCUCUUUUUGCAGCAGCUAUACGUUCAUUACAAGAGGUCAGAUACAAUGCUUUAUAGUAGUACUAUGAAGAUGAUGAUACUUACCCCUUUCAGCAAGGAAUGAGCCUCACUGGACAGAAACUGUGGAAGCUUGAUCUUGUCCUUUACAAUUUUCUGCUCUAUCUUUCCUCUGCUCCCCAUAAACGGUGGCUGCAAAAAAUAAAAGACAUCAAACAACACAUUCAUAUCACCUAAGCAUAAUAACAGGAAUGAGUGAGUCCUUUUACCUUUCCUGUGAGCAUCUCAUAGAGAAGAAUCCCAACGCUCCACCAAUCAGCAGCCUUAUCAUGACCUUUUCCUCUAACAAUUUCAGGUGCCAUAUACUCAGUAGUUCCACACAUGGAGUUUGAUCUUGUGUUCUCUUCAAACUCCUUUGCUAAGCCAAAAUCAGUUAGCAUCACAUGGCCAUCUACGUCCAUGAGAAUGUUUUCAGGUUUGAGAUCUCUAUGCAUUAUGCCUUUCUCAUGGAGAUGAGAAACUGCAGAGAUGAUCUCUGCAGUGUACACACGAGCCAAUUCCUCUCUGAGAAAAAACAAAACAAAACAUAGAACUAGUCAAGCCUUGCGGAUUCUGGUGAAACUCCAAAACUAAUUGAAAAUAGCAAUGAAGCCAAACCUGAAAAGCCCUUGAUGAUAGAGCUGGAAGAAGAGAUGCCCUCCGUUUAUAAAGUCUAGCACAAGGUAGAGCCUGUACUUAGUCUGCAAAAGAGAAUGUAUACACUCUGAGUAAAUCAUAUAGAAGGUUAAAGCCACUAGGAUGCAAAGUGAUGAUUAGUACCUGAAAAGAGUAUUUAAGUUGAACAAUGAAGGGAUGAUCAAUCUUAGUUAGGAUGUCACGCUCAGCUUUCAUAUACUCAGCAUGGUUCUUCUCCAUAAUCUUAUCUUUCCUCAUGACCUUCAUCGCAAAUAUCUCAGAAGUCUCCUUCUUCCUCACCUGAUACACUUUCCCAAACGCACCUUUCCCUACAACCUUCAUAACCUCAAAAUCAUCAAGACCAACCAAACCAGGGACCUUCACCACCACAUCUUUCUCCGCAGAUCCAUCACUGUCAGUCUCGUCAGUACCAGAGAAUUCAUAUUUUAACGAUUCAGCUUCAACACACUCCACCAAGUCAACAGAGUCCUCAGUCUCUAGUAAGGUAAGCUUCCUGACCUUGAAAGAAUGACUGCCUAUCGAAGACGGUCCAACCAAAGAGUGGGAACGAGUGUGGAUAACAGCAGGCUCGUCGAAGGCAACGUCUCCGGCCUCUUCAGGGAGUGGGCCAAACACAUCAGAGAAAUCAAGUUCAACAUCAUCUUUCAAUAAAGAAACCGAAGGGCUGAGGGACAAAUACUGCUGCUUGUGGGUUUUGUUGGGGACAGGAAGGUGAGAGGAGACCAUAGCUUACAACCAAAAAAUAAACAACAGAGAACCGCUGAGAAAGCUUCACCAGAAGGGGGUUAAUGCGGAGAAAACUGACUAAAACGACAGCGGAUCUGGAGAAUAGUGGCGAUAGGCAAUCCAAUAACGAGUUGAAGAAGCUCUAGUUGUUUCCCGUUGUUAAGGAAACAUUCGAUGCUGCAGUAGUGCGCAAAUGCCAUGAAGGUUUUAUAUGCUCUGCAAGAAAAAAACAUCAAAAGUUCACAACUUUAGAGUCUAUAUCAUAUAAGCAAGUUCAAUGAUCAAUUUAACUUCAUAAAAAUAUAUGAGAAACGUAUAAGCAAGUUCAACGAUCAAUUUAACUUUAUAAAAAUAUAUGAUUGAGAUUAAGAAACGUAUAAGCAAGUUAAAACGAUCAAUUAACUCCAACACAAAUGCGAAAAGAAGGAAAAUUUUCACUACAAUCAUGAAUAAACCCCAAUGCUUGAUUACAAACCCUAGAUAGAUUCUAUAACCCUAAAUUUCCCCAGGAGAAAAAGUAAUUCAAUUUCAAUAAAAUCAGAUCUAGUGAAAGCAAAUUGAGAUCUAACAAGGAGAUCUAAAUUCAGCGAGUGAAAGUCUAAGAGAGGGCAGAGAGAGAGAGAGAUGUUUUACCAGAGAGGAUGGUUGAGGGAAGAGACGACAAUGGGAACGAAGACGAGAGGAGGAUUUAAUAAAGAGAGGCGUCGUAUAGAUCCAGGGAGAGAACACGUGGUCCUAUCUUACUGGGCGAAUGUUGACCAAGUAGUUAAUUGUGCGGCGGAGGAUUUUUCGGCUUCUUUUAUUUGUGGUUGUGGGCUGAUUUUAACCAAGCCCAUAAUACGAAUAUUCGAGAGUAUAUUAUUCAGGUGUUCAUAUUUAUUAAUUUUUUAUAGAGCAUCUAUCCGCGGAUUUUGAUUUUGGAUCCAAUUUGUAAUUAAGUUUACACCCGGUUCAUGUACAUACAGUGACAGGUUCUAGUAACCAAUAUUUAUUCACCACGUUAACAAAGAUGUAGGACUGUUACUUCCCAUUACACUGCCCAAAGACUGAGGUGAUGACAAUAAACCCUCCCGAAGAGAGACCCAUCAUUACUUGUCGUAGUGGAUAUAUAUUUAAGACAAUAUCAGACAAAUUGCUCUUCUUUUGGCCAUAAUUUUACAAACUGAUAGAAGAGAGAUGGAGAAAGAAUAAAGAGUAUCGAACUGCUUGAGAAUCAUGAGUCAAAGUGGAUACAUAUGUACAUGCUCGAUUACUAUCCCCGACAAAAAAAAAAGAUUUGCCAGUGAUACAAAUCUUAGUAAGAGAUAUAUUGGUAUAGAUUAUGUAGACAUUAGAUCAAUAGGGGCAUUAUGGUAUAAUCGAAAAAUCAAAUAGUGCUUAAUAGUAGAUUUGUGUAGUUACCUAAAUAUGAGAUAAAUCUUGUGUAGAGAGUGCAAAUAUUCAAAAACAAAUAGGAAAAAAGAGAGAAUAUGAACAAAUCAAAACCCUUCAAGACUAGUUCUCCUAACACUACCUGAAGACAAUCUCCGUACCUCCUCCCUACUCAUCUCCAACGACGAACACACUCUUGCCGGGAACACCAACCCCCGUCCCCUUGUAGGCGAAACUGACGGUCGUCCUGCUGGUGGCGAUGGCGAAAAACCAGACCUCGGCGGCGCUGCUACAGCCGGUGUCCAAACAAUAGUGUUGAGACUGCUUGAUCUUCCCAUAUGUUUCCUCGCCGCGACAGGUGCUGGCUCCCGUAACGGGAACCUACAAGAGUACUUCAUGUCCUGCACAACCCUGAGCUGAUCAACAAUAUUCCUCAUGGUUGGACGCUCUGAUGGCUCCACCUGCAAACACUUCUGCGCUAUAUCCGCUAUGCUCCACGCUGCUUUCGCUGGAAACCGACCUUUGAGCUGAGGAUCCAUUAUAAGAGAGAGUCUACAGUCAUCUGCUAGAAAAGCUUUGCUCCAUUUCACUAAGUUCCUCUCUUCUUUAGGGUACGAACCGUCCAUGUUUCUCCGACCAGUUAACAUCUCAAGCAGAACUAUCCCGUAGCUCCACACGUUGCUCUUUGGUGUCAAAACCCCUCUCUCUAGUGUCUCUACUGAGAGGUUAGCUAGUGCUGAACUGUUAGAGGUUUCUGUCUCGGGAGGAGUGUUGCCUACGCAACCGUAUCCAGAUAACUUGGCGCUGAAGUCUUUAUCUACUUGGAUGUUAGCCGCUGAAAAUUCGUUGUACAUCGCCUGUUCACCAAGAAGACAAAAGAUCUCAGUAACAAGCAUGGUCCUAAAAAUCGGUUUAGCAAAUUCAUGUUAACCAAAACGAUUUUCUUAAAAUCCGAUUUAUACAACUCAAAUCGGUUUAAAUCAUUCUAAAUAUGAUUUAUACGACUCAAAUCGGUUUAAAUCAUUCUAAAUAUGUUUAAAUCGAUCUAAAUUAGUCUAAAUCUGUUAAAUCAAGUAAUCAUGUUAGUACAAAUUCACAAAAUUUGUCUAAUUUUGUUUGUUUUAUAUAUCUAAUUUUAAUAAUUCAUCAAAACAAUUUUAGAAUUAAACCCAAAAACUAAAAUAACUUAUAUAAAUGUAAAAUAUAUCUAAAAUAAAUCAAUGAUUUGUUAAGGCCUAGACCCCGAAUAAUCCAACUAGUCACUAAUACCGCCUAGUGAUUUCUUGAACAUUAGUCACAAGUAACUAAUAGUUUUGACAAUGUUGAUGAGUCUUUUUUGUGUGUACCUGAAAGGGUCCUUCUUCAUGUAAGAAGGUUAGACCCUGAGCUGCGCAUAGAGCAAUCUUCAUUCUAGUGUUCCAAUCAAGCGGAGGACCAUCUGAUCUCCCAUGUAGUAACCGGUCCAAGCUUCCAAGAGCAAGCCUCUCGUACACCAACAUUCUCGUGUCGGACCCUUCACGUGCGUGAUAGCCCAACAGUUUACAAAGAUUCUGGUGUUGCAGCGACGCCAAUGUGUUCACUUCAUUAGUAAACUCUCUAAUACUCUGCACAAUAGUAACGAAUAGUAAGAACACAAAUAAACACAUUAUAUGGUAACAUAACAACGUAUGUUUUAUUUACCUGAGUUAUUACGUUAAGUCUCACAACAGUUGCCUCGACCUUCUUUGAGAUUGAAGUUGAAGCAGCCUCGUCACCAAACGAAGCCAUGUACAUAACAGAUGAAAGACCUUCGGAGACACAUCUGUCCGUAGCAAAGGCACUACAAGCUGACACUACUUCAUCGUACGAGAAGCUUCUAACAGACACACUAGGCGGCAAAGGCAACGGUCCGGAGACAGCAGAUGAUGAUAACCUCCCGCUGCUUCCGUUAAACGAUUUAAAGCUCCCCCAGUUCUUCAACGAAGAGCCGGUCCUCGGAGACGGCAACGGAAGUGGCUGCGGGCUAGUUUCUUGCUCCUCGUGGCUAAGCAGAUCCCUCUCAGCUACACCGUGAAUGCUCGAAGGAGCAGACAUCACUCUCGUCCUGCUGCUGCUCAUCUCGACAUUACUAGGCUUCGCUCUAGUUCUGAAACUCGGAGGAGCGGACUGUAGAUUACGGCUUGGAACCUUGGGUGGUGGCUCUGGUAAAGCAAUUGGCUUGCUGCUUUCUUCGAGAUCUAACCGUUUCAUAGAGACAGAGCCACGUUUCUUCUUGCCUUUCAAAGGGAAACAUCCUAAAACCAUCUUUACUAAAGGGCACUGAUAACUGAAGACUAUACUAGCAAUUUCACCUGAAAAUGAUUCAAAAAAACAAAACGUUUUUUUUUUUUAGCAACAGAGACAAAGAUUGUUUUUUCUUACAAAACCAGAUCAGUUUAUGCAUGUUUUAGAUCAAUUGUCUUGAUAAAAACAAUGAGCUUGAAAAAAAUAAAAACUGGAUUAUAUCUCCUCAGUUACAGAUCUACAUAAACUCUAAUUGUGUCAGUGGAACAGCUAAAGAUGCAAUAAAUAUCUAAGACACGCGUUUAAAAUGACGACAUCCACUAGAUUAAUUACGACAAUAGACUCAGGAAACUACAUAAACGAAAGUUCGUAUCAUCAUUGGAUAUUUUAAUUUCUAAAUUUAAAAUUUUCACUGAAACAAAACACAAUCUGUUCAUGAGAAAGUUCGUUAUCCGAUCGCAAAAAAAAAGAACAAAAAAGGAACGUCAGAUUCGAUCUAAAUGAGAGAGAUUUGUUCAAACCUGGAAGGAACAAUAACCGAAGAAAAUUCUCUGGAGACGAAACUGAAACUGAAACUGCAGCAAGAGAGGAAGAGAGAUGAGCGAAAAUGAAAUCGGAAAUUUCUAAGGAAAGGAAACUCGGGUUUGUUUAGGUAAGUGAGAGAGAGAGAUGUGGGACCCAAAAGAGAGCAGUAGUCAAAGUUCAAACCAAAGCAGAUGAUGUCCUAAAUAAUAUUAUUUUAAUUUUAAUUCAAUUCCUCAUCCCUACAACUCUGUUUGGAAUUUUAUCACUUUACUUUCAUAUUAUUCCUCUUUCACCCCUUUACUUUUUGUUUUCUUCUUUCUAAACCUCGUAACGAUUAUCAUCAUAUACAAUACUGUAAUAAAUACCACUACAAAUAAUUUAUUUUACAAAAUAGAGAUACAUUCCUUAUUUCCAUGCAAUGACAGCUCCAACAAAGAUUUAAAAUUAUUACUUUUCAAAAUACUUGUGUAGUAUGGCCUUUUAUUACAUCUGUUAUUUUUCAUGAGUCUAAAAACUCAUUUUAAGUCACUAGACAUGGACGGUCUAUUUUUCUGACUAUGUAUUUCACAAGAAAAUUUCGUUUCUAAUUAAUAAUUUAAUAUUAAGUAUCCAUCAAUUUUUUUUAAAAAAAUCAAAGUUUCCAGUAAAGCGACAUCUCAGUCAAACUUGGAAAACUAAUCUUAUUUGCUUGUUCAAUAAGAAUAGGCAGUAUCUAAAUGGGGUUUUGUUUUCUGGUCAAAUGGCUAAUUAAGUUGUUGAUUUAGAUCACAUUCAUACGGUUGAUAAAAUAAAUAAUAAACAAAAGGAAAAUUUUAGAAAAAGGUUAAGCACACGCGCUGCGCACGCGUGCGAUGGAAUUCUUUAAAACUGUGUGGAGGGUCCUUCUCAACCUUUUCAUCACUCUUCUUCUACUUCACUGAAUUUACGGUAGCCAUCGUCAUCAUCAUAUUUUUUUCCCUAAAGUAUUUGAAUAGAUUUUCUUUUGUAAACUGUGUAUUUGAAAAGAUUAUUCAUCGUAAUAAGUUUUUUUUUUUUUUAUUACACAUCGUAAUAAGUUUAUUUAACUUGCAUGUAUUGAGCGACGACCUCUAGGCGUGCAGCAGACAUAUGUGAAAUCUCCGUGGCGUUUCGUAAUUUAAAGAGUGAUUAGCGUGUCGUUUUAUGUAGAGAAAAACGGCAUGGAUUUCACAUUAGAACCCGUUGUUCAACCUAAGCCCAAUAUGGAAAACGUUUAAAGAACAUAUAAAAGGUCAAUUAGUUCCUUAAUCUUCUGCUUUAGUGUAGCAACAGUAUUUACAAGUGUCGCCUUAUUAUUUCUGUUUACCAAUCAAGAAGAGAACAAGUAUUAGAAAGAAGUAAAUGACUCCUAUUAGUUAGAAAACCAAAAAAAAAACACUCUUUAAGUUGGAGAAGUUUUGAAGGAGAGGAAAAAGCCAAGAGAUGGUGCAUCCUUUGGUUGAUAGAGCCACAAGCGAUAUGCUUAUUGGUCCUGACUGGGCCAUGAACCUUGAGAUAUGUGACAUGCUUAAUCAUGAGCCUGGGUAACGCCCUUUUCAGUACUGUUCCCCAUGAUCUGUGAUGAAUCUGUGAUCUAAAAGGAAUCUCUUUUGUUGGGUUUGGCCUAACACAUUGAACGUAUAUGUCUCGGUUAUGCAUUUGUGUUGGUUAUUGGAUUUAUGUAUUGUUCACAUUUAGAUUUGAUGCUUCUUGGUUCUAUACCGAACUUUUUUGUUCUUUUGGCUUUUAUGAUAAGUGAUUGUGUAUAUGUAGGCAAUAUAGAGAAGUUGUGAGUGGAGUAAAGAAAAGGCUCGCUAGUAGGACUACCAAGGUUCAGCUUUUGGCUCUUACUGUAAGUUCCAUUUGCAAUUUGUUUGAGGGCUCAUGAUUCAUGUUUUCGGUUUGGUUUUGGUUUAGUUUGGUUUGGUUUAGCGAUUUGAAGAAUUAUGGAUACAAAUAUAUACAGACUUUAGAUGAAUACUUGUUAUUCUUAGUUUAAUAUAUUUCAUGAGAAAAUAAAAUUAAAUUAGGAUUGUUUUCAUUGUAGUUGCUGGAAACAAUGAUCAACAAUUGUGGGGAACUCAUUCACAUGCAACUUGCUGAGAAGGACAUUCUUCAUAAGAUGGUAAAGAUGGUCAAAAGGAAGGUUAAUCUCGAUUCUUUGUAACCAUUAUUUUUAUCCGUUAACAUUUUUUUGCGUGACACCAAACUUAUUAUGUUCUUUGUUACACUUAUAGCCUAACAUCCAAGUGAGGGAGAAGAUAUUGAUACUUAUAGAUACUUGGCAAGAGAGCUUCUCAGGUCCUCAAGGAAGACAUCCACAAUAUUAUGCAGCAUACCAAGAAUUGUUGGUAUGUUAUCGUUUUGGCUGAAACAUGCUCAUUUAAAUAGAACCGUUACAUGUUUCAAAUUCUAGGAAGAUUUCGUUUAAAUUCUUUAUCUAUUUUGCAGCGUGCAGGAAUUGUAUUCCCUCAAAGACCUCCUCAACCCACAGUUAGUUCAGGACAAACUGGUCCCUCGACAAUGUAUAAUCAGAAUGCUCGUAACGCUAGACAAGAAGCUAAUGAUACUUCCACAGAGUCAGAGUUUCCUACUUUGAGGUGUUUACCUUUAAUUAUUGCCCCUUGUUUUAUAAGAAUAUACUGAAAAACAAUUAGAGAUUAUUUAUAAAAUAGCACUUUCUUUUUUGUUUUGUUUUGAAGUCUGACAGAAAUUCAAAAUGCAAAAGGGAUUAUGGAUGUCUUAGCUGAAAUGUUGAACGCAAUAGAUGAAAACAACAAAGAGGUAUAUAACAGUUUGGUAACAUUGAAUUAACCAUUUGGAUAAUUUGUUUUUCUUUUACCCAUUUGUAGGGACUUAAACAAGAGGUUAUUGUAGAUCUUGUUAGUCAAUGUCGCACCUAUAAACAAAGAGUAGUACACCUUGUAAACUCUACAUCGUAAGGACCUAAACUUUUACCUAUAUAUAUUGAUGAAUAUAUGAUUUAUAUACCCGUUUUGGUUCAUGUUUCAGAGAUGAAUCGUUGCUUUGCCAAGGCCUAGCCUUAAAUGAUGAUUUGCAGCGGUUACUUGCAAAGCACGAAUCCAUCGCUUCUGGAAACCCUACGCCAGUAAAGGGAGAAAAAUCUAAAAAAGAAGUUGCUAAGGAGGCAAAUCAGAUCAUAGAUGUUGGAUCAAGGUAAGAAUCAGCUCCAGUUAUAAAAUAUUUUAUUUCUCUAAGGAAGCAUGUAGAAGAGGAAAGAUACUUGUGCAGCAAGUUACAUUCUAAAAUGUUUUGAAUUUUUUUUCAGCAGUGAAACGAAAGAUGGUAGUAUUGUGGCUGUUGCACCAAAUGGUCCAAAGAUAGAUCUUCUUAGUGGAGAUGACUUUGAGACACCGAAUGGAGAAAACUCACUGGCACUUGUUCCUCUUGGACCUGCACAACCAAGUAGUCCUGUACCAACACCAGAUAACUCCAUGGUCUUAAUCGACAUGUUAUCAGAUAAUAACUGUGAAAGCUCUACUCCAACUUCGAGUCCACACUCGCAUAAUCAGAUGGUGCCACAAAACUACUCAAAUGGAUUUGGACAAGGGUCAUCUGGUCCUGUCUGGAAUCUCCAAAUUACCCAGCAACCAUCUUCUCCUGCAUACGGAAACCAAAACCAACCCUUUUCACCUACCUUUAGCCCGCCCAUCUCACCGCACUAUGGUAUUCAUCUAAAACUCUGCUUAAUAUCAGUGUUCUAAAGAUCGGUUUAUGCCCUGACUAUGAGCAAAAUCAUAAGCGAAACUAUUUCCGUAAAACGAUUUAAAAAUCGGUUUAGGUGGUCUUUAAGCGCCAGCUUAUGCGCUAAUCAUCUAUAAUACACCUAAUUAUAGCUUAAUUUUUUGUUUGAAAAUUGUUUAAUAUAUAACCGUGUGCAUUAUCUGGGGCUAGUCUUGAUUGUCUUAUUGCUAUAAGGUGGACAAAACAACAAUGUGUUAGCACUACCACCACCACCAUGGGAAGCUCAAUCUCCAAGCUCUAGUCCUCACUACUCUCCUACUCACCCGAUGCAAGUGACUCAAGUUGUCAUCACCACGCACACUCAUCAACCGCUAGGUUACAACCCUCAAGGUGGCUCUCCUCACGCUUUCAACAACAACCCUCAAGGUGGCUCUCCUCACGCUUUCAACAACAACCCUCAAGGUGGCUCUCCUUAUGCUAUCAACAACAACAACAAUAACAUGUUCGGUAUGAUCCCCCCUCCAAUGACAGGAGGCCACAUGCAACCCUUAGGCCAUCACAAUCCUGCUGCCAUGUACGGAGGCUACGGAGGACAGCCUCAGCCACCACAACAGUAUUUUGGAGAACAACAAAUGUACGGAGGCUAUGGAGGACAACCUCAGCUAUCACAAGAGCAGCUUGUAGAACAACAAAUGUAUGGAAUGUCACUUCAAGACAAUGGAGCCAGCAAUGCCAACCCCUACCAAGUGUCUUCUCAUCCUUCGGGUCUUAAUUAUCAGCAACCAAUGAUGAAACCUGUGAACAAGAAACCAGAGGACAAGUUGUUUGGAGAUCUUGUUGAACUCUCCAAGUCAAAGAAACCUACUGAACGAGCCGGUAGUAUGUAAAACCCCACUGUUUCACCAUUUUUCAUAGAGUUUUCAAUUUUAAUGUUGACUUUAUACAAUUUCUUAGAAAAUAAUUCUGAAAGUUUUCUUUUGUCGCCAAAAGUGAAUAAUAUCAUCAUUUUCAUUGGAUAUAUUGUUGUUAUUUCAACUGGAUGAAAAUGCAAACUGAUUGAGAUUAACUUGAACAAAAUACAACAUACAAGUGAAAACAUCACACAACUUUUUUAAUGUACUAUCCUUUGUGAUAAUAUCAAUGAAUGCUAACUUUUUUUUCCCACCAUGACCUUUACCAUUUUUUUACACAUGAAACAAAUUGGAAAAAAAAAGAUAAACACACAAAAGAAAGAAUGCAAUAGGGUUGGGUUGGGAAAAUGGUUCAACCUAUCCAAGCCUCGAUUCUAGCACACGGAGAUAUCUUUAUAACAUCAGGCGGAUCAACAGUAAUGUUCAAACACAAAACCAGAGCUACACAUCCUGUUUUCAUCUGCAAAGACGAAGGAUUAAAGUCAGCAAAGAACAUGAGAUUUGCAAGACUUCCCAGAUCCAAUCAUUAUUUCUAAACAAACAUUGUGAUUGAAGUUUAAAACGCGUGUCUUGGUGCCGUUUCUUGAACUUCUGUUGCAUCAUUUGAGUUUUAAAAUUUGAAUGAACUUUUGCAAAGAUUUAAAAUGUUCAUCACAAGUAGUAGAUCGACCAUGACAAACAUGGUUAUAUAUAGGUAAUAGGUAUAAUUAGUAAUUAGUCUAAUUACUAGUGUAUGAUCCUUUACAUCCGAGUUUACUAUAAUUUCUUUGUGACUUGUAGUUUCAGUACAGAGUAACGAGACAGAGUUACUACUAAAUGAUUCAUGAAUGUGUUUUUAUGAGCUAAGUAGUUACGUCAUUGCGCGAGUUGUCUAUAAUUAAAUCCAUAAACUCUGUCAACCUUGACUUGUUGACUGUGUGUUGUGGCUUUUUUUUACCGUGAUUGCAUCCUUCCACUACUUUUUAAUUUGCAAUUGUCCCAUUAAAUAAUCAUUAAAGGACAUGAACAUAAAGCGAACAGUUCAUAUGUUUGAAUAACAUCAAGGGCCAAAUCAAAAGUGAGCUGAAGAGAUCACACCUGCCUUUUCUCUCUCUCUCAUAAACUUCUGAAUCUCAAGUUUGAGAAACACACAGAAUUUCGAUGAUGAGGAAGACGCUGAGCAUACUUGAAGAGCUCAUCUUCGUGCUGAUGAGCCUAGCCUCAGCGAUCACGACAGCUCUCCGGACGUCGCCUUCUUUCUCCGCCGGAUCUUCCACCACCUCCUCACCUUUGAUGACCAACCGUAUCACCUUCGCCCCACAGUUUUUUCUUUGAAAUUUCACUAUUAUCAUUACAUGUAUGUUAUUGUGUAUUGUGUAUAUACCGCUUGAAAUACAAACUUUAAUAAUUGUAUGUUUUGUGAUACACUUGGGUACUAAAAACAGAAAAAUUGUAAUUUCACUAUUUGUAUUGACUCAUUUAUAUAGCAAAACAUCCAUGUAUAAAUACAAGUAUAACAACGUAGAGGAUGAGAUGAUAUCAAGAUUCAUGAGUGAUCAAAUUCAACAAAAUCUAUUUUGGGUUGGGUUUUUUUUUACGGUUAUAGUUAGGAUUGUUUGUUUAUAAUGAAGUACUAGACUUUGACCCGCGCGCCUGCGCGGGUGUAUAUUUUAAAAAAUAUGUUGAUAUUUGUUUUUCAUGUAAUUAUUAGGAUUUGAAAAAAUGAAUCCGAUGAACAUAACCGAUACCGAUCCAAAAAUAUAGUACCAAACCCGAACAUAAAUUGAUUAAAUAUUCUAAUUAUUCAAAAAAAAUUAUUUAGAGAACCGAAUCUGAUCCGAACCGAAGUAUUCGGGUACCCGAAUUUAUCUAAAAUAGAUUUAUAUACUUAUAUAUAUUAAUUAUUUUAGAUUUAACGUAUAUAAAACAUCAAGAAUGAUACUUUUAAAUUGGUUUAAAUACUUGAAAAUAUAUAUAGAUAGUCAAAAGUAAAUAUCUGAAAUAGUUAAAGUAUACUCAAAUCACCAAAAAUACUUAAAAUAAUUAUUGAUUCUGUAUCCAAAAUUUUAAAUCAAGUCAAUUGAUAUGUUAAGCUUAGGUAUUCUGACAUAUGUUAUUCAAAUUUAUACGUAAUAUAUUAUUUUAUUUAUACAUUUUGAGAAAUUUAAAAUAUAUAAUGAUUUAAAACUUUAAAAUAAUUUAAAUUAGUUAUCCAAACCCGAACCAAACUCGCAAAAAUCCGAAUCAAACCAAAAUUUAGAAACAUUCUGAUAAGGAUGAAAUCUUUGACCCCGAAAACCCGAAAUGCAAACCGAUCAGAACCAAACCCGCAUGGGUACCCAAAAGCCCAUCCCUAGUCAUUAUUAUAUAUCGUAUUUUGUCAUCAUAUAAUUAAUCGUAUUUUAUAUGUACCAUCAUAUAAGUAAUCAUAUAAUUAAUAGUAUUUUAUACAUACCAUCAUAUAAAUAAUUACAUAUAUUAUAUUUUUAAAACUUAAUAUGAAAUAUAAAAACCAUAAUUUGAGUUGGUAUUUCAAAUUGGACUUUGUAUUGUAUUUUUCUUAUAUAUAUUGACAAUAUUUUUUUAUAAUGGUUAUUGAAAAAUAGUUUAGUAAAAAUCCAUUUUUGAAUAUAUGUAUAUUUUUGAAUCAAUUUUUGAUAUAAAUCAACUUUGAAUUAUUAUUUUGAUUUGAAAUAUGUAUAUAAAGUUUAUAUUUUGUUUUAUGGUUAGUUUAGAAGAAAAAAAAAUUUAGGCAAUUAGAUUGACCCAUUUUGGUAUAUUUUAAAAACUGGCCUAGAUAGAUAGUUUCUUAUAAUAUGAUGAACUUUCAAUUUUUUUAAAAACAUAAACCCAUUACUUUUUUUCUUAAUACUACUAUCCUUGUUUUCAAACAAAUCUUUUUUUUUAAAAGACUAUAAUCCAUGUUUCCAAACACUCCAAAUUUUUUAAUAAUCUUAUUCAAGUCUCCAAACACUCCAAUUUUGUACUAUAGAUGUUAUCUUAAAUGUUUGAAGGAAUUUACAUUAUAGUUCCGGUUAAGUUUUGUUUUUUUCGAUUUAUAAAAAACAAUUUGACCAGUCUUAUUUCUUCUAUUCUUUUUAUUAUUGGAUCGGUAUUGCUUUGACUAUUGAAUGUAGCUAACUUUUUAUUUGACCCAUUGAAUGGAGAGUCUUUAUUCUAGAAAGAGUUUUUAAGUCAGUCUUUAGUCUUUGACAAACUCAACUCCUAUCAUCAAUCCUCUUCCUCUCACAUCCUCGAUGACUAAAAAACACACAAGAUAAAAUAGAAAAUUUCAGCAUAUGAGUGAUUAUGAGAGGAGUGAUUCUGAAGACAUUCACUUUGAAGCCACCUUUAGCCAUGAACUCUCACAUUUCUUUAUAGCAAAAGAUAAAUAUUCAAUGCAAUUAUAAAAACGUAGAUGAUGAUUCAUGAGUGAUUUUUAUAUGGUUAUAGAUAUCUUAAAUGUUUGAAGGAAUUUACAUUCUAUAUGGUUUUAGUUCGUUUUGAUUUUUUCGAAAUCUAAAGAACAGUUUGACCAAACUUAUUUUUUUUUAUUGGGUUUGCUUUGACUAUUAAUGAAUGUAGUUUGAUCAUUUAAAUGGAGUUUCUGUUCAUAAAAAAUAUUUUUUGAUUUUUUAAGUGGCGGUUUUCGACAAACUCCUCGCUUGUAAGAAAACUAUCUUGUCUAAUUAUGUAACUUAUAAAAGUCAUUACAAUAUAUUUUAACCAAUUCAUUAUCUAUUUUUUAGAAAAAAGUGGAGUGUCCAAAACAUGAACAAAACUAAACCUAGUAUGAAUAGAUGGUAUAUACAUCAUAUCUUUAGAUUCACAAUUUACAAGUUAUAUAUUUUUUUUUUUGAAAAAGCUGAAAUCACAUCGGAUUUACCUGUUUCCAAACCCAAGGACGUUGUCAUGAUAACUAUAAAUGUAGACAUCUUGGUUUUGCAAAGCAAUGACAUCCACAAAGUCAUUUUGCAAAAAAAACUAUGAGUUCUUAUGGGGUAAGACUGUAAGUAGAAUAUCAUAUUUUUCUAUAUUUUUUUUAUCAUUUUUAUUUGGUUAGAUUGUCUUUUUAGAACUUCUCAAUCGUGAAGUUCUAAUACUACAAUCUAAUAAAGUAACUAGUUUGUAACUCAAUUAUGCACACACCAUUGAAACAUUACAUUUUAACAAAUUUCCAUUUGUAAACACAUCCAUAUUUGAUAAAUCAAAUUGAAAUUACCUAAUUGUAUAUCUUAAUUGGUAUUAUUCAUGUAAAAACAAUCAAGGGAAUGUCAAUUUUGGACUAUACGUAUGUUUUAACAAUUAGUCUAUAUGUCCUUGCUUUGCUGAAAAGGUACCAUUGUCUAAUGAGGUUUAUAUGGUUGUUAUUUUUGUGUAAUCAAAAUCUAUGAAUCAUAAGUAAUUACUUUGUUGAAAAUGUGUCAAUGGUAUCAUUUGUCUAAUUUUGUCCUUUCAAAUGACCAUUCAUAUGAUACUGGUAGUAACGGAAAUUACAUUAAGAAAAAAUACAAUUAAAUAUAAAACAUUUCUACAAAUUGUAUAUAUGAUAGUAUAUAUUUCUUUAUUUCUUUUAUUUUUUGGCAUGAUUAUUUUUCUUUUCAAGAAACAAACAAAUUAUCUUAAAAUAUCACAUAACUGACAAUAAGCUUUAUUGAAUUUAUUUCCUUUUCAUUAUAUCUAUAAAUAUUUUAAAUAAUGAGAUAAAUAUUUGUCCAAAACUUUUAUACCAAGAUUAGAUUAAAAAAUGGAUACACUUUUAAUUCCUUCUCAUCCUUCUGCCAUUUAGACUCGUACAUCAUGAUAUCCUAACGGUACACUAAGGUGCUUCUCAAAUGCAUGCUUAAGCUUUAUGGUAGCUCAAGAACCGAUGGAUACUAUGUUUAACUCAUGUCUCUUCACUUGGGAUUUUAUCCUCCUAAAAAAGCUACUUGCUUUUAUAAAAAAAAAAAUUACUUGCAGAUAUUCUCUAAAUAAGUAAAAACUGCGUUAAUAAAAAUCAUAAGUAAUUGAAUAUAAAACAUUUCUGCAGAUUUAUAUAUAUAUAUAUAUAUAUAUAUAUAUAUAUAUGAUAGUAGAUAUUUCUUUAUCUCUAUUAUUUAUGGCAUGAUUGUUUUUCUUUUCAAGAAAACAAACAAAAUAUCUUAAAAAUAGCAUGUAACUGCAUUUAUUUUAUUUUUUGAAAGUAUUUAUAUCAGCAAAACAUCAUUUAAAAAAAAUAAGUUUUUUAAGUCACUGUCUUUGACAAACUCAACUCUUAAUCCUAUCACAUGAUUACUAAAACACAGAAGAGAAGACAGAAGAUUUCAAUAGAAGAAACAAAAAAAUAAUUUUUUGAAGUAUCUUUAAUUUGUAUCAGUAAAAAAAAAGUAUCUUUAAUUUGUACAAGAACUUGAAACCAAACUUAAGCUGCAGCCAAACGGUAAUAUCUAACAUCUGUUUACAUUCACAUAAGCAAGUUAUGUACGAAUUUGCUAUGGUUAACUAUCUACCAUUACCGAGAGAGGCCGUAGAAACCUCCGUGGAAAACGAAAACGUAGUCGAGCUCGACGCUAUAUCAGAUGAAACAUUACAUGCAACAUUCGCCCUUAGAUGAUCUCUAGAAGAAUCUGAAAACCCCAAGUUUCCAUCAAUCUCCGGAAGAUCCUCGUCCCCAUUCAAAUAUCUAAUCACGUUCCUCAUCGUUGGCCUAGCCGUUGGUUUCUGAUGGCAACAUAACAACCCCACAACGAGAGCUAGCUUCGCCUCUCUACCGUUAAAACUAGACCCGAGUUUCUGAUCAACCGCGCGAAGCACUCCACCGUUCGUGUGAAAGUCCAUAACCCAAUCAGCUAAAAAGAAGUUCUCCGUAUUCGUCGGCCUCUUCCCGCACACAAUCUCCAACAACAAAACGCCAAACGCGAAAACGUCAGACGCGGUCGAGCCUUUCCCGUUGCGCGUGAGCUCAGGCGCCAUGUACCCUAACGUCCCGACCACUUUCGUGGUCUGCGUUAGCGUUCCGCGUUCGUAAAGCCUCGCGAGCCCGAAGUCUCCCAGCUUAGCGUUCAUCUCAGCGUCCACGAGAACGUUACUGGUUUUCACGUCUCUGUGAAUCACGACCUGCUCCCACUCCUCGUGGAGAUACAACAGCCCCGAGGCGACUCCCUUUAUGAUCUCGAAACGCUCCUCCCACGUCAAAACGACUCCGUUUCGCCUCGGCGUUGUGUAAAGCAGCGAGUCGAGGCUACCGUUGGGGAUAUAAUCGUAAACCAACAAGAGGUCUUUCUUGUGUUUGCACCAUCCUUGAAGGUUCACUAGGUUCUUGUGGCUUAACCUACCUAAGCUCUCGAUCUCCGCCACAAACUCUCUAAAACCUUGUUGGCUUGUUUGAGUUAUCCUCUUCACCGCGACAGCCCCCAAAGACGGUAAGUUUCCUCUGUACACGGUCCCGAACCCUCCCGAGCCGAUGAUCUCACUCUCUUUGAAUCUCUUAGUAGCUAAGUAGAGAUCUUUGUAAUUAAACCUGUGAGGAUAAUCAAUCUCCCAAUCCUCUAAAGCCUCUCCUUCUUCUAUCCGCCUCUUGUACAUAACGAAUACAAACAGCAAGGCAAGGAGGAACAGGGUGACGAUCGAUAAAGAUGCAAUCAAGGCUACGACUGGAGAGUCGUAGCCUUUCUUGCUGCUCACGUUUGGAGGCGGACGAGGGAGGAGAGAGACAUUGAGCCAGCUAGAUACUGGACUCUCUCCACAUGAGCUGGCGAAGCUCCAACCCAUCACGUAGUGAGCGCUAGACUGGCCUUUGCCAGUCGCGGAGGUGAACCCCACGUACACCUCCUCCUUCGUCACGAUCUGCGACAAGUUCAAAACUUGUCGCGAGAUCAUAGGCGUCUCGGGUUUGAACCCGAUUCGCGUAGGAUAGACUGUAACGUUUAAACUGUCGGUUGGUCCAUCGUAGUCCAGAUGAGCUUGGAUCGGUUCUCCGCUCUCUAGCUGAAAAUCCUCUUUUCGAUCAUCCGUGUCGUGGUAAAUGAUGGGCUCCUGUACAGCCGAGGAGAGGUUGUUGAAGUCGAGACCGACGUGGUUUCCUCUCCUGUCGUCUCCGUCUUUGAACCCUUGCACCGUGUCGAACUCCACGGCGAAGACGUGGUUGGACGGAUCUCCGUUGCUGGAUCUGUUCAGAAGGCCUAAAUACUGAGCUGACUCGGCUCCGGGACGGUUCGGGGUCGGCGAAAGCGUGAAUGUGAAGCCGAAACCGCCGUUUCCGGGACUAGAUGGGAUUAUGACGAAGACGAAAGAUGUGCUGAAGGAACAUAGUUUGUUGGAUGACCCGUCACGGAGUCUGAUUGGUUCGCGGUAGAACGCUGUUCCGGUCACGUUGUGGUCCCGGUUAGUUAGUCUGAGUAGACCAUCGGUUUCUUGAAUCGUCGCUGCUUGUUCGGUUUGAAUUUCGGUUUGGUUUCCUCUGAAACCAAGGAAAGUGAACACUGUUGUUGUGGAGGCGUCAGCGAGAACGUUUGAUGAUAGAAAGAGCAGGAACAUGAGUGUUGGUAUGGAUCUUCUUGCUAUGCCCAUUGAGAAUCUUGAGCUUUCUUGACUUUGAUGAUGGUAUGAAGUAAGAGAUCUUUUUAAGGCAUACGCAAAUUUCAAGAGCAUGGACUUAUGCUUUAGAUGCCGGAAUAUUAGAAAUGUUAAAAGUCAAGGUCUUUCGGACAAUGUGUGUGGUCUGUUAUUUCGAGUCAUUUGUGUGGAGGAGAUGAAUGACCUUCAAAUCAAUUUCAAUGAAUUUGAGUUAUUAAUGUGGACAAAACGAAACUAUCAAGACAGAAGAAUAUUACGCGGUUCUGACUUAUAGUUGGAAGUCAAAAGAGAGCACUAAGUUGGUGUAUUCAAAUUAUCAAUUGAAGUCAUUUGAUUUUUUGUAAAAAAGUUUAAAUGAUUUGAGAUGAAUUGAAAAUAAAAAACCAAUUUUAGUUAAAUCAUCUUGAAUUAUGAGAUUUUACCUUUUGACUAAUAAAUUUCAACCAAACACUCUAAAAAUAUUAUAAAUAUCUCAAAAUUCAAAAACAAAAUUAGUAGCAGUAGAUGUAAAAGUAGUACAUAUCAAAUUUAUUAAUUUAUUUAUACUAUUAAAAUUGAAGUACAUUUUAGAAAUAACUUUUUAAUAUUACACUUUUUGCCAUUGGAAAUAACAUUGCUCUUUCAAUCAAUCGUAAUGUCAUUUUCCUAAUUUAACAUCACAAAAUAAAAGCCCAUUCGAAAUACUUACGUAACUUACUAAUAAUCAUUGGUUGCCUCUUAAACCAGUCUUUUUUUUUUUCAUCUAAAUAGAUUUUAUUAAUAUACCAACGUACAAAUAGAGUUAUAGAAUCAUAUACAAAGCAAUAUGAAAUACAAAUUAUUACAUAAGCAGAACAUAUGCUGAAGACAAAUCAUUCCUAGAAGUGAAGAAAACUCUCUAUCAAAGAAUAUGCGACAUAACCAGUCUAUUUGAUAGAGAGAUCCAAUUAUCAAUUUUAUUGUGGACAAAACGAAACUAUUAAGACAAAAAUAUUAUGCGGUUCUGACUGCGCACUAAGAUCAUAUCGAACCCAUAACACUAUUUUAAUGUCAAAAUCAUAUUCUUUUGGUGUAGUUUCAACACUAAAAAAAAUGUUUUUCUCCAAUCAUAACACUAAAUUUCACUGUUAUUUUAUAAUAUUAUAUAUAUUUAACUUUUUAUUUGUUAUUUAUUUAAUUGUAUAUUUUAUUAAUAAAAUAAGUGAAUAAUCUAUUAAUGGAGUGAAUAGUAUUAUAGUGUGGUGAAUAGUAUCACACCAAAUUUGAUGUAAAAUUAUAGUGUGAUACUAAAAUGUUGUGAUUUUUGCAGUUGGGUUGAAGAUUUUUAAUAGUGUUUUGCAGUUUGGUUGGAGAUUGACCUAAAGUGGUGUAUUCAAUUUAUCAUUGGAAGUCAUAUGAUUUUUGUUAAAAAAAAGUUUCUAAGAUGACUGAAAAUUUAUGAUAAUUUUAGUUAAAUCACCCUUUACUAUCAAAUAUGAGAUUUUAUUUUAACUAAUAAACUCCAACCAAACACUUUAAAAAUGGUUAGAAGAAUCUUAAAAUUCACAAAAAAUAUUAAUAACAGUAGAUUUUGAAGUAAUUUAUCAAAUAUUAAAUUUAAUAACACUGAAUUUGAAAAAAAAACCAAUGUUCAAAUAACAAUGAUCAUAAAUUAAGUUGGCCUAUUCCGAAAAGAUGUGCUAGGCCCAUAUUCUUUAAAGCAAUAGUAAAAACAGAGUGUAAUCAAAUUAAACUGAUUCUUCCAAGUGAAAUUCGAAAAUCAAAAAUCAAAAUUUCAGAUCUUUCCUCUCAUCUUCUCCCUCCUCUCCUCUUCUCUUCUAGAGACAACAGGCGAAAGUCACUCACUUGCAACUUCGAUUUCAGCAAUCUCCAAUUCCUCCUGGUGAGGGUUUAGAGAAGCUCUGAGAAUCUAAAAGCUUAGGGCUUUACUUUACCGCCCGUUUCAAAAAAAAUGGGGAACCUUUCGGAGAGCUUCGACAUCGAAGAUCUGAUGUCAUACGGCGACGACUUGAUCAGCUUACUGAACGCCAAGAACGGGUUCGACGUAGUAUCGCAAAGCUUCGAGGACUUGAAAGCUCUCCGCUUUGUUUGCGACGAGGAUUUGAAUCAGACGCAGAGAUCUAUCCAAGGUCAGUUCUUUUCGAUCUGGGUCUCUAGAGAAACUUCGAAAGACUUAAACUUUACAGUGGUUUGACUUCAUAAAUGCAGAUUGUAAGAAGAAGCUCGUUGCUUGCAAGAAGAAAACAGAGGAAGCUUCGUGUGGAGAUGACGACGUUGAGCGUCUUCAGAAGGAGCUUGACGAAGAGAUGGAGAUAGAGUGCAAGCUCAAAGACGAGCUUAGAUAAGUAUUAGUGAAAUUACCCUAUAGUCCCUUUGGUUCAGUGUUAUGAAAAGUGUUUUGUUCUUGUCAAUACAGUAGUUGCUGAGGAACUCAAAGACUUGAAUGCACAGUGGACGUCUGUUGAUGAGCAAAGACAAUCUGUUAAGAGAAAAGAGCGGGACGACUUGAGAGCUGAGUAAGAUCCACAAAACCAGUUUCCUCUUCUGAAUGUUGCUUUUUUUUUCAAUCUUUGUUGGGUUACAUCUGCAGGAAAAUGCUCUCUAUGUAUGCUUCUGUUACAAAAGUUAUACCAGAGGUUGAGGAUCCAUCGAAGAUCUCAGGAUGUAUCCUUUUCUUUCACUAUCUCUAUACUCUCUUUACUUUAAGAGUCUCUUUUUUUUAUUCCUUGAUUUAUAUAUAUUUAUUUAGAUAUGGUUGAUCGCGAGAAGAAGGUUAUUGAGAAGUUCCAGUUUGAGACAAAUAAAAUGACGGCUUAUGAGACAUGCAACAGUAUCUGGAGCAUCAUUAACAAGCAAUAAGACAAGACGUGGUGGCACGCACGAGUUUAGUUGUUUGAUGUGUCUGAAUAGAUUUGGUUUUAGCUUAGCAACCAAAAACAUUCGUACCACCCAUCUACGGUUCCUUGGAUGUAAACCCAUCCUGCUUAGUUUUUCAUUGCCCUUUUGUAAUUUGAUUAUGAAUCUUAUUCUCCUGUAACAUCAUCAUCAAUCAUCAUUUAUGAAAAUUUCCCUUGCAAGUAUCAGUGUACCUGUAAAAUCAUCUUCUCUUGUUGUGCCAUUUUCUUGAUAAAUCUUCAUGUGUAGAUUGAUGCAAGUUCCGAUUGUUUGUACAUAUUACAAAGGGUGAAUCAGUGCUUUAGUUUCUACACAUUUCAGCUGCUGCUAUUACCUUAGCUUCUCCGUUGAACUAUGUAACCUGCUUAUUGUAAACAGAGAUGUUUCAUAUCUUCAUGCAAGGUUCGUAGAACAAACAGACAAAAGCUAUGUUGCUAUGUUUUCGUCAAAAUGAUUCUUUAGGAAUCUUUUUGUUGAGCCUUUGUAUAUAAAAACACACACAAAAGUUUAUAAAACUCUAAGCAAAUUAAAAAGUAAGCAAAGAACCUAAACGUAGUUCUUCUUUUAUUCAGUAUAAUAACAACUUAUAAGCAAACAAAAAAAUAAAACUAAAACCCCAAAACCAAAAGCUGUGUUGAGAAACCUAACUGCCAAGUGAAACCCCAAAUGUAGCAGACAGAGUCCAGAGACAUCAUCUAACAAGACGAAAACAUCCGUUUGAUUCCAGACUUCUGCUCUGUCGUUAGCCUCGAAGGGAACUUAACAUUGAACUUGAUCCUCAAGUUUCCCUUUUUCGACGGGUCUUUAGGGAUAGGCAUGCCUUCGCCUUUCACAACCUCUUCAUAGGAAGGGCUGAUCACGUUGUUGACCGGAACCGUUAGCGUUCUCCCGUCCAAAGUCGUGACCUGAGCAGUGUACCCCGUGAGUGCUUCCACGAGAGGGAUCUUCUGCGUGAUCACAAGGUCGUUCCCGUCUCUCUUGAACACAGCGUGCGGCUUCUCGUCGACUAUGAAUACGAGGUCUGAUGGUAUGAUUCCUCUCUGCUCGUUUCCUUUCUCGGGGAAUGUUAUCUUUGUCCCUUUCUUCCAUCCUGGUUUGAUCUCUAUCGUUAAGAUCUCUUCCACCGUAGUGGGUCUCCUGCAUUGUAACAAAAAACUCGUUUUUCUUUAACUUGCAUUACUAAUAUCAAUAACACAGAAGCUACGAAAAUGACCAGUGUUCUAAAAAUCGGUUGAUUCUAGGCGUUCAAAAAAUUGGUCUAGACGCCUAAGUUGAGUCUAAAGGAAACAAUUUUUAUUAAAAUUUGUCUAGGCGUUUAAAAAAUUGGUUUAGACGCCUAAAUCGAGUCUAAAUAAAAUAUUGAUUCUUAAAAAAAUCUGUCUAGACAUUCAAAAAAUCGGUCUAGGUUUCCGAAUAAACAAUAAUUUUCUAAAAAAGCGCAUAACCCACCGCCUAGCGAUUUCUUAAACAUUGAAAGUAACUCUUCAUAUCCUCAAAAGUUCAACUCGGACUCGGUCAAGUACUAUGUCAAGUGCUCAAAAACUCAAGUAAAACAGGAUUCACAUAACUCAAUGUUCAUGAGUGAGUAGUUUCUAGCAUUACAUCUCCAUCUAUCUAUCUAUCUAUCCAGGUAACUUCUUAAACUUCAAUGCAUAGCAAGCAAUGUAGGUGAAAAAUAAUGGGCCAACACAAGCUGAAGAAAGUACCAGCUAGAAUCAAGAACGUCCCUCGAGAUCUUCAUCUUCUUAGUGAUACCUUUAUACAAAUCCUCCAAGCUACAAGGAAGCUGUCUCUCUAUAGGAGCAGCUUUCCUCGGUGGAGCAACAUUAAAGGUUUCUGGUGCAGCGGACCUAUAAGACGAGAAAACGUCUUCAGCGAACCUAAACCCAUCACCAGGGGGUCUCGAGAAGCCAAAGAACUCCGAGAAGAUGUCGUCAGCGCUUCUGCCGUUGAACCUGAACGAAGCCCCUCUGUCUGAACCACCAGGAAACCCGCCGGGACCAGGAGGCGGAGCUUGGCUGUUUAGACCUUCUUCUCCGUAUUGAUCGUAGAUUGCUCGCUUCUGAGGAUCGCUCAGUACCUAAGAUCAAUGCAAACCAAUCAGAACAGAUCAUUAACACUUUUGUCCCCAUAAAGUUUUGUGAUUUGGUAACUAAAGAGCUGCUCAAAAUUCAAAUUCCGACAAAGAUUAGAACUUUCAAUGGAAAAAAGACAAAACACGAAUCAAAACAUCAUAAGAACAGAUCACUAACACUUCUGUCCACACAAAGUUUUGUCCUUUGGUAACUAAAGAGCUGCUCAAAAUUCAAAUUCCGACAAAAGACUAGAACUUUCAAAAACAUCAUAAGAACAGAUCAUUAACACUUUUGUCCCCAUAAAGUUUUGUAAUUUUGGUAACUAAACUCAAAUUCAAAUUCCGACAAAGAUUUGGAACAUUCAAUAGAAAACGAAAACGGGUUUCGGUUGCAUAUGGAUUUUAAACUCGAGUUGUGUAAGAGAAUUUUUUUACAUCGUAAGCUUCGGAGAUCUGUUUGAAUUUGGCUUCUGCUUCUAUUUUGUUGUUAGGGUUCUUGUCGGGAUGCCACUUCAUGGCGAGUUUGCGAUAAGCUUUCUUCAAAUCUUCAUCUUUAGCACUUCGAUCAACUUGAAGAACCUUGUAAUAAUCGACCCCCAUUGAAUCGAAUCUUUCCUCUUCGCUCUUCGUUCUCACAACUCGUGAUCUUCUUCAAUUAAAACUCAAAACGAUCAUGCCCUACCGGUUUAGAUUUAUCAUCGAGCGGUUCUUCUAUUUGAUCUUAGGCGGUUUGACUAUAAGAAUCGUUGGGCCGAUCACGCUUCCUAAGAAAUGGAUCCAUUUGGGAUAUACAUUGGGCUUUAGAUGGGCCGUAAAUUUACCAUGUUCAAUGACGAAUAUACGCUCCUUGUUGGAGUGAAGCCGUGAUCUUCUAUUAUAGGAUUCAAUAUAUAAAGUAUUUACCAAAAACUCAAUAUUUUCGAAUGGGUUAACAAUACGUUUUGAAAAAUUUUCAAAAAAUACUACAAUAUUUUUUUAAUGCAUAGUUACAUUCUGCACUAAUAUAUGAUGAUGCUCAAAGAGGUUUGGAGCCUUUGUUAUCUCCGUUUUUCAAGAAAAUAUUGAUUUUAUAGUGGUUAUUCUAUCGAUUAAGAAGUAUUAUGAUGUUUUACUAAAUUAAUUGAUAAUCAAAUUAUAACGAUUACCAUAUACCAUGAAAAAAGCUUAAAUUACAUUACUACAAGUGUAGAAUGUGGUUAGAAAUUUUAAAACAACACUAACGAUUAUAGGCUGUAUAUAAAAAAUUUACCAAAAACUCAAUAUUUUCGUAGAGGUUAACACAUGGAUUUUGAAUUUUUUUUUAAAAAAAUGACAAUAUUGUUUUAAUGCAUAGUUGUAUCCUGCACUAUCAUAUGAUGAUGUUCAAAGAAGUAUGAAGCCUUUGUUGUCUCUAUUUUUCAAGAGAAUAGUGAUUUUAAAAUGGAUAGUCCACUAAUUUUGGGAGUUUAUGAAGUUUUACUAAAUUAAUUUAUAAAAACAAUUGAACGAUGUUCAUUUACCAUUAAAAAGAGUUUAGCACACAUUAAUAAAAAUGUAUAAUAUGGUUAGAAAUUUUAAAACAACACUAAAUAUUAUAGGCUUUAAUAUAUAAAGUAUUUACCAAAAACUCAAUAUUUUCGAAGGGUUUAACACAUAGAUUUUGAAAAAAAUUCAAAAAAUAAAACAAUAUUGUUUUAAUGCAUAGUUGCAUCCUGCACUAAUAUAUGAUGAUGCUCAAAGAGGUUUGGAGCCUUUGUUGUCUCUAUAUUUCAAUAGAAUAGCGAUUUUAAAAUUGUUAGUCCACUAAUUUUAGGAGUUUAUGAAGUUUUACUAAAUUAAUUUAUAAAAACAGUUGAACGAUGUUAAUUUACCAUGAAAAAGAGUUUAGCACAUAUUAAUACAAAUAUAUAAUAUGGUUAGAAAUUUUAAAACAACACUAAAUAUUAUAGGCUUCAAUAUAUAAAGUAUUUACCAAAAACUCAAUAUUUUCGAAGGGGUUAACACAUAGAUUUUGAAUUUUUUUUUAAAAAUACUACAAUAUUGUUUUAAUGCAUAAUUGCAUCCUGCACUAAUAUAUGAUGAUACUCAAAGAGGUUUGGAGCCUUUGUUGUCUCCGUUUUUCAAGAAAAUAUUGAUUUUACAGUAGUUAUUCCAACGAUUUAAGGAGUAUUAUGAAGUUUUAAUAAAUUAAUUGAUAAAAAAAUUAUAGCGAUUCUCAUAUACCAUGAAAUAGAGCUUAAAAUACAUUAAUACAAAAGUAGAAUGUGGUUAGAAAUUUUAAAACAACACUAUGGAUCAUAGGCUUCAGUAUAUAAAACAUUUACCAAAAACACAAUAUUUUCGUAGAGGGUUACACAUGGAUUUUGAGAAAAUUUCAAAAAAUAUGACAAUAUUGCUUUAAUGCAUAGUUGCAUCCCUCACUAACAUAUGAUGAUGUUCAAAGAGGUAUGGAGCCUUUGUUGUCUCCAUAUUUCAAGAGAAUAGCGAUUUUAAAAUGGUUAGUCCACUAAUUUUGGUAGUUUAUGAAGUUUUACUAAAUUAAUUUAUAAAAACAGUUGAACGAUGUUCAUUUACCAUGAAAAAGAGUUUAGCACACAUUAAUACAAAUGUAUAAUAUGGUUAGAAAUUUUAAAACAACACUAAAUAUUAUAGGCUUCAAUAUAUAAAGUAUUUACCAAAAACUCAAUAUUUUCGAAGGGGUUAACAAUACGUUUUGAAAAAAAUUCAAAAAAUACUACAAUAUUGUUUUAAUGCAUAGUUGCAUUCGGCACUAAUAUAUGAUGAUGCUCAAAGAGGUUUGGAGCCUUUGUUGUCUCCGUUUUUCAAGAAAAUAUUGAUUUUAUAGUGGUUAUUCCAUCGAUUAAGAAGUAUUAUGAUGUUUUACUUAAUUAAUUGAUAAACAAAUUAUAAUGAUUACCAUAUACCAUGAAAAAGAGCUUAAAAUACAUUACUACAAGUGUAGAAUGUGGUUAGAAAUUUUAAAAUAACAUUAAUGAUUAUAGGCUUUAGUAUAUAAAAAAUUUACCAAAAACUCAAUAUUUUCAUAGAGACAAAUGGAUUUUGAGAAAUUUUCAAAAAAUAUGACAAUAUUGUUUUAAUGCAUAGUUGCAUCCUGCACUAACAUAUGAUGAUGUUCAAAGAGUUAUGGAGCCUUUGUAUUCUCUAUUUUUCAAGAGAAUAGCGAUUUUAAAAUGGUUAGUCCACUAAUUUUGGGAGUUUAUGAAGUUUUACUAAAUUAAUUUAUAUAAACAAUUGAACAAUGUUCAUUUACCAUGAAAAAGAGUUUAGCACACAUUAAUAAAAAUGCAUAAUAUGGUUAGAAAUUUUAAAACAACACUAAAUAUUAUAGGCUUCAAUAUAUAAAGUAUUUACCAAAAACUCAAUAUUUUCGAAGGGGUUAACACAUAGACUUUGAAAAAAAUUUAAAAAAUACGACAAUAUUGUUUUAAUGCAUAGUUGCAACCUGAACUAAUAUAUGAUGAUGCUCAAAGAGGUUUGGAGCCUUUGUUGUCUCCGUUUUUCAAGAAAAUAUUGAUUUUACAGUAGUUAUUCCAACGAUUUAAGGAGUAUUAUGAAGUUUUACUAAAUUAAUUGAUAAAAAAUUAUAACGAUUCUCAUAUACCAUGAAAUAGAGCUUAAAAUACAUUAAUACAAAAGUAGAAUGUGGUUAGAAAUUUUAAAACAACACCAUGGAUCAUAGGAUUCAUUAUAUAAAACAUUUACCAAAAACACAAUAUUUUUGUAGAGGGUAACACAUGAACUUUGAGAAAAUUUCAAAAAAUAUGACAAUAUUGCUUUAAUGCUUAGUUGCAUCCUUCACUAAAAUAUGAUGAUGUUCAAAGAGGUAUGUUGUUUCUAUAUUUCAAGAGAAUAGCGAUUUUAAAAUUGUUAGUCCACUAAUUUUGGGAGUUUAUGAAGUUUUACUAAAUUAAUUUAAAAAAACUGUUGAACGAUGUUAAUUUACCAUGAAAAAGAGUUUAGCACAUAUUAAUACAAAUAUAUAAUAUGGUUAGAAAUUUUAAAACAAUAAUAAAUAUUAUAGGCUUCAAUAUAUAAAGUAUUUACCAAAAACUCAAAAUUUUCGAAGGGGUUAACACAUAGAUUUUGAUUUUUUUUUAAAAAAUACUACAAUAUUGUUUUAAUGCAUAAUUGCAUCCUGCACUAAUAUAUGAUGAUACUCAAAGAGGUUUGGAGCCUUUGUUGUCUCCGUUUUUCAAGAAAAUAUUGAUUUUACAGUAGUUAUUCCAACGAUUUAAGGAGUAUUAUGAAGUUUUAAUAAAUUAAUUGAUAAAAAAAUUAUAGCGAUUCUCAUAUACCAUGAAAUAGAGCUUAAAAUACAUUAAUACAAAAGUAGAAUGUGGUUAGAAAUUUUAAAACAACACUAUGGAUCAUAGGCUUCAGUAUAUAAAACAUUACCAAAAACACAAUAUUUUCGUAGAGGGUUACACAUGGAUUUUGAGAAAAUUUCAAAAAAUGACAAUAUUGCUUUAAUGCAUAGUUGCAUCCCUCACUAACAUAUGAUGAUGUUCAAAGAGGUAUGGAGCCUUUGUUGUCUCCAUAUUUCAAGAGAAUAGCGAUUUUAAAAUGGUUAGUCCACUAAUUUUGGUAGUUUAUGAAGUUUUACUAAAUUAAUUUAUAAAAACAGUUGAACGAUGUUCAUUUACCAUGAAAAAGAGUUUAGCACACAUUAAUACAAAUGUAUAAUAUGGUUAGAAAUUUUAAAACAACACUAAAUAUUAUAGGCUUCAAUAUAUAAAGUAUUUACCAAAAACUCAAUAUUUUCGAAGGGGUUAACAAUACGUUUUGAAAAAAUUUCAAAAAAUACUACAAUAUUGUUUUAAUGCAUAGUUGCAUUCUGCACUAAUAUAUGAUGAUGCUCAAAGAGGUUUGGAGCCUUUGUUGUCUCUGUUUUUCAAGAAAAUAUUGAUUUUAUAGUGGUUAUUUUAUCGAUUAAGAAGUAUUAUGAUGUUUUACUAAAUUAAUUGAUAAUCAAAUUAUAACGAUUACCAUAUACCAUGAAAAAGAGCUUAAAUUACAUUACUACAAGUGUAGAAUGUGGUUAGAAAUUUUAAAAUAACACUAACGAUUAAGGCUGUAUAUAAAAAAUUUACCAAAAACUCAAUAUUUUUGUAGAGGUUAACACAUGGUUUUGAAAUUUUUUUAAAAAAAUGACAAUAUUGUUUUAAUGCAUAGUUGCAUCCUGCACUAUCAUAUGAUGAUGUUCAAAGAAGUAUGAAGCCUUUGUUGUCUCUAUUUUUCAAGAGAAUAGUGAUUUUAAAAUGGAUAGUCCACUAAUUUUGGGAGUUUAUGAAGUUUUACUAAAUUAAUUUAUAAAAACAAUUGAACGAUGUUCAUUUACCAUUAAAAAGAGUUUAGCACACAUUAAUAAAAAUGUAUAAUAUGGUUAGAAAUUUUAAAACAAUACUAAAUAUUAUAGGCUUCAAUAUAUAAAGUAUUUACCAAAAACUCAAUAUUUUCGAAACACAUAGAUUUUGAAAAAAAUUCAAAAAAUAUGACAAUAUUUUCUCAAUGCAUAGUUGCAUAUUUCACUCAUAUAUGAUGAUGUUCAAAGAGGUUUGGAGCCUUUGUUGUCUCCGUUUUUCAAAAAAAUAUUGAUUUUACAGUGGUUAUUCCAUCGAUUUAAGGAGUAUUAUGAAGUUUUACUAAAUUAAUUGAUAAAAAUAUUAUAACGAUUCCCAUAUACCAUGAAAUAGAGCUUAAAAUACAUUAAUACAAAAGUAGAAUGUGGUUAGAAAUUUUAAAACAACACCAUGGAUUAUAGGCUUCAGUAUAUAAAACAUUUACCAAAAACACAAUAUUUUCGUAGAUAGGCUUCAGUAUAUAGAGCAUUUACCGAAAAAUUAAAUAUUUCGUAGGGGUUAACCCAUAGAAUUUGAGAAAUUUUUUUAAAAAAAUUAAAAUUCUAUUUUAAUGCAUAGUUGCGUCCUUCACUAACAUAUGAUGAGGGUCAAAGAGGUUUGAAACCUGUGUUGUCUCCGUUUUUCUAGAGAAUAGCGAUUUUAAAGUGGUUGGUCAACUAAUUUAGGGAGUAUUAUGAAGUUUUACUAAAUUAAUUGACAAAAAAUUUAAACGAUACCCAUGUACCAUGAAAGAGAGUUUAAUAUACAUUACUGCAAAUGUAGAAUAUGUUUAGAAAUUUCAAAACAACAGUAAAGAUCAUAGGCUUCAAUAUAUAGAGCAUUUACCGAAAAAUUAAAUAUUUUGUAGGGGGUUAACCAAUAGAUUUUGAGAAAAAUUCAAAAAAAAUGAAAAUUCUAUUUUAAUGCAUAGUUUCAUCCCUCACUAACAUAUGAUGAAGGUCAAAGAGGUUUGGAACCUUUGUUGUCACCAUUUUUCUAGAAAAUAGCGAUUUUAUUGUGGUUAGUCAACCAAUUUAGGGAGUAUUAUGAAGUUUUACUAAAUUAAUUGACAAAAAUUUAAACGACGCACAUGUACCAUGAAAUAGAGUUUAAUAUACAUUAAUAAAAAUGCAGAAUGUGUUUAGAAAUUUUAAAACAACAUUAAAGAUCAUAUGCUUCAGUAUAUAGAGCAUUUACCGAAAAUUAAAUAUUUUCGUAGGGGUUAACCCNNNNNNNNNNNNNNNNNNNNNNNNNNNNNNNNNNNNNNNNNNNNNNNNNNNNNNNNNNNNNNNNNNNNNNNNNNNNNNNNNNNNNNNNNNNNNNNNNNNNUUUUCCUACAAAAAUAUUGUGUGGUUUUUUAAAAUUUCUACCAUAUUCUACAUUUAUAUUAAUGUAUGCUAAACUCUUUUUCAUGGUAAAUGAGCAUCUUUCAAUUGUUUUUAUCAAAUAAUUUAAUAAAACUUCACAAUACUCCCUAAAUCGAUGGAAUAACCACUAUAAAAUUAUUAUUUUCUUGAUAAACGGAGACGACAAAGGCUCCAAACCUCUUUUAGCAUCAUCAUAUGUUAGUGCAGGAUGCAACUAGGCAUUAAAACAAUAUUGUCAUAUUUUUUGAAAUUUUCUCAAAAUCUAUGGGCUAACCCCUACAAAAAUAUUGAGUUUCUGGUAAAUACUUUAUAUACUGAAGCCUAUAAUCUUUAGUGUUGUUUUAAAAUUUCUACCAUAUUUCUACAUUUGUAUUAAUGUAUGCUAAAUUAUUUUUCAUGGUAAAUGAGCAUCGUUCAAUUUUUUUAUCAAUUAAUUUAGUAAAACUUCAUAAUAUCCCCUAAAUCGAUGGAAUAACCAAUAUAAAAUUAUUAUUUUCUUGAUAAACGGAGAGCACACAGGCUCCAAACCUCUUUGAACAUCAUCAUAUGUUAGUUCAGGAUGCAACUAGGCAUUAAAACAAUAUUGUCAUAUUUUUUGAAAUUUUCUCAAAAUCUAUGGGCUAACCCCUACAAAAAUAUUGAGUUUUUGGGAAAUACUUUAUAUAUUGAAGCCUAUAAUCUUUAGUGUUGUUUUAAAAUUUCUAUCAUAUUCUACAUUUGUAUUAAUGUAUGCUAAACUCUUUUUCAUGGUAAAUGAGCAUCGUUCAAUUGUUUUUAUCAAUUAAUUUAGUAAAACUUCAUAAUACCCCCUAAAUCGAUGGAAUAACCACUAUAAAAUUAUUAUUUUCUUGAUAAACGGAAAGCACAAAGGCUCCAAACCUCUUUUAACAUCAUCAUAUGUUAGUGCAGGAUGCAACUAGGCAUUAAAACAAUAUUGUCAUAUUUUUUGAAAUUUUCUCAAAAUCUAUGGGCUAACCCCUACAAAAAUAUUGAGUUUUUGGUAAAUACUUUAUAUAAUGAAGCCUAUAAUCUUUAGUGUUGUUUUAAAAUUUCUACCAUAUUCUACAUUUGUAUUAAUGUAUGCUAAACUAUUUUUCAUAGUAAAUGAGCAUCGUUCAAUUGUUUUUAUCAAUUAAUUUAGUAAAACUUCAUAAUACCCCCUAAAUCGAUGGAAUAACCACUAUAAAAUUAUUAUUUUCUUGAUAAACAGAGAGCACAAAGGCUCCAAACCUCUUUGAACAUCAUCAUAUGUUAGUGCAGGAUGCAACUAGGCAUUAAAACAAUAUUGUCAUAGUUUUUGAAAUUUUCUCAAAAUCUUUGGGCUAACUAACCCCUACAAAAAUAUUGAGUUUUUGGUAAAUACUUUAUAUACUGAAGCCUAUAAUCUUUAGUGUUAUUUUAAAAUUUCUACCAUAUUUCUACAUUUUAUUAAUGUAUGCUAAACUAUUUUUCAUGGUAAAUGAGCAUCGUUUAAUUGUUUUUAUCAAUUAAUUUAGUAAAACUUCAUAAUACCCCCUAAAUCGAUGGAAUAACCACUAUAAAAUUAUUAUUUUCUUGAUAAACGGAGAUCACAAAGGCUCCAAACCUCUUUGAACAUCAUCAUAUGUUAGUGCAGGAUGCAACUACGCAUUAAAACAAUAUUGUCAUAUUUUUUGAAAUUUUCUCAAAAUCUAUGGGCUAACCCCUACAAAAAUAUUGAGUUUUUGGUAAAUACUUUAUAUACUGAAGCCUAUAAUCUUUAGUGUUGUUUUAAAAUUUCUACCAUAUUCUACAAUUGUAUUAAUGUAUGCUAAACUCUUUUUCAUGGUAAAUGAGCAUCUUUCAAUUGUUUUUAUCAAAUAAUUUAAUAAAACUUCACAAUACUCCCUAAAAUCGAUGGAAUAAUCAAUGAAAGUUUGGUGUUUUUUUGGUCAGCCCAAAAGUUCAUGUUUGUUUUGGCAAUUCGUGCAAAGUUGAGGUUUUUUUUGGCCGAAUUCUCAAUCACAAAUACAUUUGCUUUGGAUAGAUGAAUUACAAUUUACAAGCACCUUUCAUCUAAGUCCAAGUUUAUAUUCUAAAGAGGAAAGCUUAAGCCCAUCAAGACUUGGUGAUGCAAAAAAAAGGAAACUGAAAAUUUUAUUAAAUCACACACAAACAAUAAACAAUCUAAGAACUACAACAACUCAAUGACAGUUUCAAUUACAUUAGUGAGAUAGAAGUACAGAACUACUAAAUAAUUUUUUUUGAGAAAUAAAGAAUAUAAUAACCAAUCUAAACCGGGCUAUCUGAGCUUCUGAUCAUCUCAGGAGAAGAAGCUCUAUUAGCAGAACCAGGACCAGAGCCUGUAGAAGCCCUUAUCUCCUCCAUCAUGUUAACUACUUCCUCCAUGGAAGGCCUAGAAUCCGGAUGCCUUGACACACAAGCCAUCGCUAUCUGCAACGUCUGCACCAUCUCUUCCUCAACGUUAUGCUGCUGCUUGAUCAGCUCCACGUCAAACACUUCUCCAGUCCACUCCUCUCUCACCACAGACUGCACCCACUUGGGCAAAUCCACCAGUUCCUCGUGCCCAGCCGUCUUCCCUGCUGCUUUCCCCGUCAGCAUUUCGAGCAACAGUACACCAAAGCUGUACACGUCGGAUUUGUGAGUGUGUUUCCUGGUUUCUAUGGCCUCAGGUGCUCUGUACCCUAAGCUUCUCGAUGGGAGCAAUGUGUGGUGGCUCAUCAAUGGAGCUAUACUGUAGUCCGAGACACAGGCAUUGAGGUCUUGUGUUAAUAGGACGUUUGGUGAUUUGAUGUUCCCGUGGAGGAGUUUAGCACCAGAUGCAGAAUGUAUGUGAGAGAUUCCUUUUGCAGCUCCUAAACAGAUCUUUAGCCUUGUUUCCCAGUCUAACGCCGCUCUUCCUCCCUCGUUGUUUCCUGCAUAGGAUCCAUCAAAAACGUUACGGUUAAAGCCGAACCAAACCGAAUCAAUUUUCGGUUCGGUUAUGGUCUUGAGUUCAGUUUAGUUCGGUAGUUUUGAAAAAUGGUUCGGUUUGGUUUUUGAUUUUUCUAAAAAACAAAUAUAUAAAAACCAAAAAUAACGGAAACAACAAAAUCGAACUAACUGAAAAUAACUGAAAUGAGCCGAAAUGAGCUGAAAUAACCGAAUUUAUCCUAAAAUAUCUAAUUUUAAAGAAAAUUAUACCAAAUUCUAACCGAAAAACCAAAAAAAUCGGUUAUUUCCGAAAAUAAAAGUAAAAACCGAAAUUAACCGAAGCGAAAUGUAAUUCGGUUAAUUUCGGAAUUAUUUUUCAAAAUUUUGGAAAACCGAAGUCGCAGGACAAUACCACAUGUGAAACAUCAUCAUUACCAUGAAGAAGCAGGGAGAAGUUGCCUCCUUGGUAGUAAUCAAACACGAGCAGCUUCUCGUCUUUCGAGAAGUAAUAAGCACGGAGAGGAGCCACAUUCACGUGCGGACUAAUCCUCCCCACAGCUUCCAUCUUCUGCUCAAACUCCCUUUUACCAGCUGCUACUUCCCUCAGCCUCUUCACCACAACCGUUGUUCCUUCCUCUAAGAUGGCCUUAUACGUCGUCCCGUAGCUUCCUUUCCCUAAAACUUCAGCAGAGGCUCUGAGCAAGUCCUCGAGAUCGAAGUUGUAUGAACUUCCUUCAAAGAAGACCAGCUUGUUCUUCUCAGGCUCCUGGACCCCACUCCCAAACUCUUCAGCUUUGUUGUCACUCCUUAUGGUUUUAGCUUUUGGCGCUGUUGACGUGCUGUCUUGCCCGUUAUCAUCUCUUUUCUUGGCGCAGCAGAGAGUUAUGACGGCGAGAAGGAUGAAUAACAGAACCGAACCUCCAACUGCUAUGCCGACGAUAGCUGCAGUAGAGAGAACCUUUUUCGCUGGUGCAGUGGUGUUGUCAGGGCAUGGAGUUAAAGGACUUCCACAUAAAAGGCUAUUCCCUUGAAAGGAUGACGCUGGGAAGGACUUGAGAGAAGAAGGAACUGAGCCGUUGAGGUUAUUGAAGCUGAGGUUCAAGUACUUAAGGUUAGGAGGGAGGUCAGGGAUUGGUCCGGUGAGAGAGUUGUUUUGCAAGCUGAGAUCAGUGAGCUGAGUCAGGCUCCGUAGACUCGCGGGGAUGUUGCCAGAGAGCGAGUUGUUGGAGAGAUCAAGGUUAACAAGACGAGGAGAGAGAGUGGGAGGGAUGGUACCAGAGAAGUUGUUGUCGUGAAAGUAGAGAGAUCUGAUGAAAGGAAGAGAGAGGAUGGUUAGUGGGAUGUUUCCUUGGAGGUUGUUGGAACGGAGGCUAAUGAUCCUGAGGGCGUCAAGCUUCUCGAAUGUUUUGUCGGGUAAUGGUCCGUAUAGUCCGGAUCCGGGUAAACGGAGCGCGGUUACACGGGAGUUGUUUUUGGAGCAGGUGAUGCCGGUCCAUGAUGUGCAGAUGGGGUUUGUGGUGUUCCAGUUGAGUUUGCGUGCGUGGGGGACAAGAGAUGCGAACUCGAGAAGUGCUUGUUUGUCUGAGUCUAUGUCUGCUGAUAAACAACGGGAGGCCAAAAGGAUAAUUAAGGCCAAAACAAUCAUCAUAAUGCUCGUAGUCGUAGGCUCACUCACAUCAAAGUUUUCUCAUUCACCUGAACUGCAAGUGAACACAAAACAGUUAACUUGUAAAUUAGAGAGUUAGCUAAGAAUGACACCGACACUUUGACAUGUAUCAUCAGGACUAAAGAUUAAAACAAUGGUAAAGAAAAAAAAACUUAAAAAGUAGUUGUAAAGUUAGACACAUCAACUUCCACCAUAAAUAAAAAGCAAAUGACUAUAGAACAAUAGUGGUAAUGAUGAUACAAUCCAAUGCCAACAUUACUAGAUUAUCAAUUAAAAACCAUAGAUUAUGAAAGCCUUUAUGCACACAUUCAAUUAAAAAAUCCUAAUUAAUUAAGAAAGUUGCUAAAUUUAGAGACAAUUAGUAAGAUAAUGUGUGCCCAUGUAACUAUUUUAUACAGAUCUGCAAUCUACAGAUGAACAUUGUAAAAAACUAGUGUUACUCCAGCUAACCAAACAGAGAAUUCGAAAUUGGGAAUUAUAAUUAGCAAUCUAAGCUAAAAAACAAGAUGGAAACAGAGAUCAAAAGUGGGAUAUAGACUGAGAUACUAACCUUUGAGGUGGGUUCAUAGGAGAAUCCUGAGAAGUGGCAUUGGAAGCUGAUCGUUGAAUGGAAUAAAUGCUAAGAGAUAGUGGAGGAAUGACUUUUAACAACGGCAUUUCGUGAAUAAGAAGCUUGAGUUAAAGGCAAAAGCGGAAAGUAGCAGAGAAUCUGGAAUCGCCCAUUGCCAUAAGAUUCAGUGACCACCAAGUGAUCAUGAACAGUCAAAAGAGAGAGAAAGUAAAGAUUUUGGGAGAGAUGCAAUUUUUAGCUAAAGCUUUGUGUUUGAAGGUGAAAGGGAAGCUUCGGCGUGACGGCAACGGAGAAACGUAAAUCUCGAUGUUCGGUUUCAGAUUCCAAUCUCUCUCCUCUCUUGUCUGCACUUUGCUGUCUGGCUUUUAAUGCCUUUGACUCUCUUCCUAAAAGAAUUUAAAUUAUUAAUUCGUAUCUUAAACUUAUUUGUCGUUUUCUUAAAUUUCUCUUUGUUUUAUUCUUUUUCUUUUUAAAAAAUCAAUUUUAGUAUUUAUUGAACGGGUCAAUUGAUGUAAAUAUGGCGGCUUCGUGAGACUUUGGAAUAUUCUAAUAGCUUAUGUGAUAAUAACUCAAUUGAUUUUAAUGUGUAAAUCAUAUGGAUAUUCUCUUUUCAGUAAUGAGAAAAGAUAGUAUUUCAAAAUCAAAGCAUAGAUUGGUAAGGAAAACAACAAAGAGUGGGAGAAAUGUUGCAGAUUAUGUUUAUUUCAUCUUGAUAUUUAUAAAAUUUAAUUUGGGUGGGGAUGGAACUUUCUUUCUUUAAGAUGGACCCACCUGAAGGGGAAGGAAGUUUGGUAUGUGACAUAAAUGAGGGUAUAUGACGAUAAGGUAACAAUGUAGACAGCAUAUGAAAUCUCUUAAAUGUGAAAAUGACAUUAAUGAAAGUCAAUUUUAUGGAAUACAAGAUAAGAAAAAAACUCCAUUGUUGUUGUUAGUUGUGCUUGGCUGUUACCCAUUGUUAACUUUAGCUAUAUUUCUGAUUAACGUUGGGUGUGUGAACCUUUCUAUCCUCAUUCACAUUCUAAUCGUUUCCUUCAAGAAUCAGAUCCUUACGUUGUGUUACCAUCUCUUCAAAUACUUAUAUAACUACAAAGUUACAAUUCUAACUCGAGAACCAAGAACCACUAAAGCCUUAUAUCUUAUCACUCUGUCACUAACGAAGCAAACAGAUAUUGUAGAAAAAAAAUGGUUUACUUGUGGUGCGUUUGUGUGUGUUAUAGUGGGGCAAAAGGGCCAGGAAGCAGCUCGAACCCUCCAUUGUCAAACAUUAGUCCAUGAUCUGACGACCUAUCAUCAAUGCUAUGCAACCAGUUUGUGUUCUUCACGUCUUCUUUCAACAGAAAUGAGUCAUACAUUUUUUUUUUUUGUAACUUGGCUUAAAAUGAGUCAUACAUUGAGCUCUCAUACAUGUCCAUCUGCCUCAACCUUCCCCAUCAGUCUUCUUCCCUCUUUUGCUUCAUUCCCGUUGCUCUCUCCACUGUUGCUGCUUAUUGAAUCCGAAUGAUGAUUCCCUGAACGGUUUGGCUGGAUCUUGGACGAGGCUUGUCUGAUGGUCUGGGUGCACAUGCACCCACUAUUUUUUUUGUAUUUUCAUUUUUUUUUUGAAACUUUUGUAUUUUCAUAUUUUUCUAAGACAAAGUUACAUAAUAGUUAAGUUACAAAAAGAAGAAGUUACAUAAUAGUUAGAUAAUUGUGAAAAAACUCCUACCCAUUAAUUAUUUUUCGUUUACCAAAUAUUUCAAUGAGUUUUGAAAUGAUAAAAUCCAAAUUUAUUCCUCUGAAUAUAGAUCACUCGAACCAUCAUUUUUACGAUAAGUCGAUCGUUUUGUGCAACGUGGUUGCAUGCACCAAUUUUUUUUUUUUAAACUAGCUUCUGCAUGCACCAAAUUUUAGCAAAAAAAAAACGUGGUUGCAUGCAGCAUGCUUCAUGUGAAAAGUUUAUUUUUUUGAUAAAAGAAAAAAGAUUCAUGUGAAAGUUUAUUGCAUAGACUCUUGCUUUCUUCUUCUGUUUAAGACGGAUCAGCUUAUAACAAUAUCCAUUGUUGAUUAUUAUAAUAUGAUCCAAUGAUAAUACACAUGUACUAUAUAUUACAAAAAAAUAAUAAUAAUACACAUGUACUAUAAUAAUAUCGACAGCAAUGCGACAUCGUUACAUAUUUAUAUCAUAUCCAGCUUUAGUCGACAUUGUCACAUUUCGUCAUUUUAACAAAUUAUCUGUACACAAGAUAAAUUUGCUAUAUUUUGUAGUAGUUACGAUUUUGUGCAUAAAAAAAGUAGUAGUUACGAUUUUGGAACUAGAAAUCGAUUUCAAAACCAUCUUGUAAUAUUGGGAAACGAUUUGUUGUAAGUUAGUUGAUAAAUAUAUUAAGGUUCGGAUAUGUUGAUAAAUAUAUGCCGAGCUUAUAACGAUUUUCCUAAUCAUAAUUAGCUUCCUAAUAAGAAGCUUCGAACCUAACAAACUCCAGGUUAAUUUCACCCUUUUUUACAAAAUUAAUCGACUCGUUCCGAAGAUUAACAAAACUUGAGGGACCUUAUUUACAAUUAUUUAAUAAUAAAAUAAGAUUUUAUUGAAAAGUGUAUAAAUCAGAGGACUUUUGUCUGUUAUAAUUUGACUUGAUUGACUCCUAAGCGUUAGGGUUCGGUUCCUUCUUCUUCCUUUUGUCAAACGUUUUCUCAAUCAUCCCCUUGACUACACAUCGCCAAAUCCUCCUUCAUUGGCUGUGCUCAUCCCCAACGAAUCCAACAUUCUCCGAGCUUCGAUUUCCUCCUGUGCUGGUAAGCUCCACGAUCCCGUUUCUGUACUGUCAUUGAUCAGGGUUCGUCGUAGAAUGUAUUGAUUGGGAUGAUGGUGGAUCGAAUCGCCAAAUUCUGCAAUUGGGUUUGCCAAUUUUGCAAUUAAAAAUCGCAUUUUUCCAUUUAAUGGAUAAUGAGAACGAUUCUGUUACCAACUAUGUGUGAUAAAGAUCGUUGCUUUGUUGUUCUGCGUUUCUUAAUGAUGAUAUUAUUUAUUUAUUUUGCUCUAGAAAAAUUGUUUUAAUUCGUUUUUAUUUGUUCUAUGAUUUUCACCAAAAUACGAUAUUUUGAUCGGUCUGGUGUUUAAUUUAACAGACAUAAUCAUGUACGGUUCUGUCUGUUAAAAUUGAUGAGUUUGAGUUCUGUUUUUUUUUUUUUGUAAUCUCUAGCAGACAAGCUGAUUGAAUAUGUUUUCCCAAUUACAGUUGCUGAGUUGAAGCUUUUGUUCUCCUGAUGUGUUAACAGGAAACAGUCAUCUCCUCUUGAUGCAGUUUUGAUUCUACAACGCCUUUGGAGUUUAUUCGAUUUCAUUUAAAUUUGAAAAACUUGCGCCAAAUCAAAUGAUGCAUUCAGGCUACAAAAAGCUUCUGCUGCUUCUAUUCUUAUUCAUCGCUAUAUUCAUUAAGAACACUAACGGAGACACUCAGGAGGAGAUCUCGCAUAAAGCAAGAGCUUCUCCUGAUGGAAACACUGGAAGAAACGUUAUAGACGGAAGCGGUGUUGAGAAAGCCUUACAUGACAUUGGAAUGGGUGAGAAGAGAGGCAGCAGUCACAGCAAAGUCUCAGUCUCAACAGUUGUAUUGUUCACCUUGGCAAUGGCUGCCGCCACUGGGCUAGGCGCAGUGCCCUUCUUCUUUGUUGAGCUCGAUCCUCAGUGGGCUGGAAUAUGCAAUGGCAUGGCUGCUGGUGUGAUGUUGGCCGCUAGCUUUGAUCUUGUAAAGGAGGGGCAAGUGCAUGGUUCUGGAAACUGGGUUGUUACUGGGAUUCUAGCCGGUGGGUUGUUCAUUUGGCUCUGCAAGCAGGUAACUUGAAAAAAAUUGAUUCUUUGGCUGUCCAAAACCUGGGUAGAGUGAUUUGCGUGAUUGAAUAAUAUCUCAUGUGUUGACAGAUGACAGAACCCUAUAGUUAUGUAGUUUCAUCUUAUAUUGACCUCAGAGUUGUAGAAUAUUAUGGCCUACGGGUUCGGUUUCUUCGGUUAGUUUGGAAUUUGGUUAGUUUGGGUCAGUCGAAAUCUUGCCGAAGUGAACCGAUAAGAAAUUUGGUUCGGUUUUUGGUUAGUUCGGUUUUCACAAUUUUCUACCAAAUUAUCGGUUUUCAGUUAAAUUUUAUGUUUAAAUUGAAUAAAAUUCGAAACUUUUUGGUUAAGUUCAGUUAGUUCGGUUCAGAUUUUGGUUAAGAUGUUUGGUUGUAGUUUUUAUAGAAAGCCGAUUAUCGAACCGAAAACCAAAUUUUUUUAGUUGCCGAAUUGAACCAAACCGAACCAAAAAUAGGACGUUGAUAUAAGUUCUUGUCUUUUGUAGUUUCCUUUUACAUUAGUUGCCUGCCAAGUUGCAUAAAAUCUCAUAAUUGAAAACUCACUUUACCUUUGGCAGUUUCUUGAACAAUACGGUGAGGUUAGCAUGCUGGAUAUCAAAGGAGCAGACGCAGCGAAAGUUGUUCUCGUUAUAGGGAUCAUGACACUUCAUUCUUUCGGGGAGGGGUCAGGGGUUGGUGUAUCGUUCGCUGGCUCAAAGGGUUUCAGCCAAGGGCUUCUGAUCACAUUGGCAAUAGCCGUUCAUAAUAUUCCAGAAGGAUUGGCUGUUAGCAUGGUGCUGACGUCAAGAGGCGUCUCUCCACAAAACGCCAUGCUCUGGAGUAUAAUCACAUCUUUGCCUCAGGUUAUAUACAAACAAUGUUCUUUAAAUCUGAUUUCGUUGUCUACAUAACAGAUUAUUGAUUUUUUUGUUUUUAUUUUUUCACCAGCCUCUCGUUGCUGUGCCAGCUUUUUUAUGUGCUGAUGCAUUUAGCAAGUUCUUGCCCUUUUGUACUGGAUUUGCCGCUGGGUGUAUGGUCUGGAUGGUUAUUGCUGAAGUGCUUCCUGAUGCAUUCAAGGUGAAUUACAUGUGCUCUUGUGUGAAACGUUGAUGCUUAUACUAACUUGAUAUCUCUUCUUUGUAACCGGAACAGGAAGCAUCUCCAUCUCAAGUAGCAUCUGCAGCCACGAUAUCAGUAGCAUCCAUGGAAGCUUUUAGCACUCUUUUCGAGAGUUUCACACAUGAUUACAAGUAAAACAAUGGAUUUUUUAAUUUAAAUGUAUUAGCCAUUGCAUUUGAUUGGUUAUUAAAUUUAACUAAGGCUUCAUUUUCUUUACUAUGCAGCUCGGAGGAUGCUUCUGGCUUCUUCGUUUCACUCCUCUUUGGUCUAGGCCCAUUGCUUGGGGGAGGGUUUCUGGUUGCAUCGGCACUCACCUUCCGUCUCCAGCACGCUCUCCUCAUGGGAGUAGCCUCAGGCAUUGCCUUUGUCCUCGGUCUCUGGCGUCCGCUUCAACUACUGCUCUCUGCAAAAGUGGGACUCAUCCCUCUGGUUACUCUACUCGCGUUUGGAGCCGGGCUGAGCCAUGUCACUAGCUCAACCAUCCUGAACAUUACUUCUCGGAAGAAGUCUCGAGCUGGCAGUUUAAUCUCUCCAGUAACUAAUUUUCCAACGAGUAUGAUAACACUUCAAUCAUUAUUAGCGUGUGGAGCGGUUGGUUUCCACGCAUUAGCCGAGGGGCUCGCUCUUGGAGUGGCUGCUCCAAAGGCGUAUGGGCUAGGCAGACACAUGGUGCUCCCAGUUUCCUUACACGGGCUGCCAAGAGGGACAGCGGUUGCAAGCUGCGUUUUCGGUGCUACAGAUAGCUGGCACGCAGCUCUUGCGGCGGCUGCUUUGAUUGGGUUUGUGGGACCUGUGUCAGCCAUAGGGUCUAUACUAGCCGGGAUAGAUUACAGUGGGCUUGAUCAUGUGAUGAUGGUGGCGUGCGGUGGAUUACUGCCUAGCUUCUGGCAGGUGGUGAAGAGAGCGGUGAAGUUAGAGAGAAAGAAGGGGAGUGUGGGGAUGGUGCUGGGAGUAGCGUGUGCGGUUGUGUGUCUGACUUUUACUAGACUGGUGUGCUUGCAUACGCCUUAUUGCAACUCUGCACCUGAGGCUGUUAGGUGAAUGAUUCUUGAAAGCAAGAGCCACCUCUUGUGAACUCUCUUUUUUCUUUUCUUUUUAUGUUGUAAGAUAUAUCUUUUCUUUGUGAAUAAACGAACUCAUUAGUUUUAUUUGGCAGAAUGAACCAUUAACAUUUACGUUUUUGUGCAAGUAAACCAUUGAAUCUAUAGAUAUUAUGAGCAACAUUUUAUUUGUCAACUAACUGUUUUUCUUUGUUGGAAAGCUAUCAACUAGUAAACUUUUAGGGUUUUUAGAAUAUGAAAUGUAGCAUUAUAAUAAAUAUAUGAAUAAAUACUUAAAAAUAUAUAUAAAAAAAUUAAAAAUAGUUUCAAACAUAAUUUUUAAUUUUCAAAAAAGAAAUUUUGGAAAAAAUUUAAACGAAAAUUUCGAAUAAGUAUUCCAACAAAAAAAAAUUAUAAAUAGAAUUUGAAAAAUAUAAUUCGAAAACAUAUUUAUUAAUUUUUUAUUUUUUUAAUAACAAUUAAUUAUAUAUCUAGAGAACGAGUGUAUAAGAGUUUUUAUGCCACUUAGUAAAGAAUGUAUUUUUGAAAAUGUCCAUUGAUGGUAAAGAUGAAAAGUGAUAUUGAUAAACACAAAUUUUCCUAAUUUUUAUCAACUUUCAACAUUUAAAAGAUGGAUUUAGAUGCCAUGUCUUUUAGAUGACACUCCAAUCGAUGACAGUCAUAUUUGGUACUAUAUUUUUGUAUGUAAUAUUUGUUUUGAUCAACAACAACUUUCAUUAACCAACAAGGUAAACGAGAUUACAACCACGAAAGAUUUUAACCCACCAUACAAACGAUGAGAUCUAAUACCACCUAGAAACACUAAAAGAAUAUAAUGUAAAAUCGUUGUUUAACUAGAAAUAUCUGAAUAUUACUAAAUUAUUUGUUUUUUCUCCUAGCAUCGGGAAUCCGGUAAAUAGAUAACUCAGAAGCAUAUGUUUCAAAUCCUUUUGAAAGACAUUGCCUUAUAAAACUAAAGACCACACAUUUUGGCAGCAUUGUAUAGAGACUAGUGAUAUAUAUGUUUUGAUUUUGGUAAGGGGAAGCAAGAGGUGCAAUCCAAUGACUGGAUUCGUCUAUAGAUACCAUGAUUUCAAGACUCACAACGAUGUAUCCAUCAUUCACAACUUCUUUACCCUUACUCAGUUUGCAGAUCGCCACUUUUAUCCCACAUAUUAUUUUAAAAUCUAUAAUGAUCACCAUAUGUUCACUUUUAAAUGUCUUGCCUGGUUUUGGACGUAGAUGUUCAUCUUAUCAUCACUUUUCAACCUCUGAAUUGCUGAUUCCAAAGUAUCAUAAUGGUAAAUUUCCUUCACCUUGUUAAGUUCUUCUUCUUUGACAUUAAACUCUUCUGAGAUUCUACAGUAUAACCAAUAAUGAUGACAUGAAGCCACAAAAUUGAGAAGUUAAUUGAUUAUCACAGAUUAGAAAAACAAAUUAUGUCCACAAUUUAGAAACAUGGUCAAGCUCCACAUGGAAUCAGACAAUUUAGAACCUGAUUGUUUUGUCUACAUAAUUAAAACGUGUGUUUCACAUUUUUUAUAGUUUAUUUUUAAGAACUAAAACCGAAACAGAGUAAUACAUCAUCUAACAUGUACUGCAUUGUACAAAUUUUGUUUUUUGUAAAGAAAUUAUCAUAAACAAUAGGAUUGGGCAUAAUAUUCAAAUCCAAAUAACUUAAUACCGAACCUAAACCCAAAUAUAUUAAAUACUCGAAUGGAUCCUAAACUUUAAUAUCUAAAAUAUCUACUUAUUAUCUAUCCAAAUAUCAAAAUCGAAUCGGUUUUCCUGUUGAUCUUAAGUAUAAUUUUAUAAUAUUCAAAUUUAUAUAUUGUAUAUUAUUUUAUUUUCCAAUUUUGAGGAUUUACGAUAUAUUUGGAUUUUUAUAUUUGCUACAUAAUUUAAUGGAUACAAAUAUAAGAAUAAGAUUUAAAUCUCUAACUCCAAAAUUCCAAAACUCGAAUAAGUUUGAAUCAAACUUGAACAUGUACACAAUUAAAAUAUAUAAGAUUAUGUGUUUAAUUUAUUUCCUAAUAUAUAGAUUAUGUGUUUAAUUUACUUCCAGAUAAUAAUAAUAAUAAAAUGUUUAUUUGGGUUAAUGUAUGAAACCGAGAUGUUUAUUAUUUAAUUUAAUAGUAUUAUAUAUAUAUUCUGAAUUUUACUUUUGUAUAUAAUUUAAAAUUAAAUUAAUAUAUAAUAUUAUUUACUAAUGGUGACAAAUUUAUUUCUAUUUUAAAAAAUUGUAUAUCAUAUUUUUUAAACUGUAUAGUAAUUUAUCAGAUUACAUUCUUUUAAAAACUUGUAAAUGAUAUUUUUGUAAAAGAGAUUUAAAUAUUUAGUUGAAUAAUUAAGUUGUUAGCUAACAUAUUAAGGUACAUCGUUAAUAUAAAUGUUUGAAUAUAAUAAAUAUAAUAUGGAAGAUUAGGUCCAAAUAGUUAAAGAACUUUUAUUGAAUUUAUUUUCUUGGUAAUGCUGAUAAAGAAAAACAACAAACAAUGAAAUCCAAAUAUUAGGAUGAACCUAAAGAGGGAUUAGUCUUCAUAAAUCUUGCAGCAGCAGCAGCAGCGUUGAUUGGUUUUUUGGGAUUGAUUACAGUGGACUGGACCACGUGAUGAUGGUGCGCGUGCGGUGGAUUACUGCCCAGCUUCUGGCAGGUGAUAAAGAGAGCGGUGAAGUUAGAGAAAAAGAAAGGCAGUGUCGGGAUGGUGCUGGGAGUAGCGUGUGCGGUUGUGUGUCUGACUUUCACUAGACUGGUUUGCUUGCACACGACUUGCUGCAAUUCUGCAGCAGAAGCUGUUAGAUGACUUGAUUCUUGAAAGCAAGAGCCACCUCUUGUGAAUAAGCUCAUUAGUUUUAGCACUCGCAGGAUGAACCAUUUAAUGUGUGUAAUUAAAACCAUUGGAUCAUGAAAAACCUUUUAUUGAAUUUAUUUUCUUGGUAAUGCUGAUAAAGAAAAACAACAAACAAUGAAAAUCCAAAUAUUAGGAUGAACCUAAAGAGGGACUAGUCUUAUUUAUUCAUUCAUAAACACAACAAAACUCUAAAGGUCUUAAAGCUUUUGUAAGAAAAGGAAAGAUCACUGAAGAAGAAGGGAAGCCUCUCUUUUGUCCCUAUGAACAAGUGAAAACAAAGAGGAAGCGCUCACUCACAAAGAUUCAAACAUCCUUCACCUUCACAUGAAUCUCCGUCUUCGUCUUCUCCUCCUCAACCCCAACCUCACUCUUCCCCUCCACAGACUGCGAUCCAGUCAUCCUCGCCAACAAAACAAACGACAUCCCUCCCACAACAUUGUUCACACACCUCAACACAAACACACUCGUCUUAAACACCACAGGCGGCAUCGCCCUCGCAAGCAAGAACUCAACUCCAUUCAACGUCUGGUACCUCACAUUAGCACUCACCCCCAUAUGCGUCGCCCAAGUCAGCGAGUUCAGCACCGUCGGCGGCGGCUUGUUCGGCGUUUCAAACCCCGGAUCCAUCUUCUUCCUCAACAUAAUCAACCCAUUAGAGAUAGCCGUUCCGACAAGACCCGCAGCUAACCCCACAGUCGCAAAGACCAUUCCUUUAUACACAAGGGUACCAAAACGGUUCAUAACCGUGAACCCACCCUGUUCGAACAUAUGUCCCGAGGGGCAGUUUCUGAAGAUUCCGGGUAACCUCUGGGAGACGCCUGCGGUGGCUGAAGUGGGAGCUAAGAGGUACAUGAGCAUGAAGUUGAGAAUCGAACCCACGACGAGAGUUGAGAAGACGAAGUCGAGCUCGUUUAGUCCGAAGUUGGGACGCGACGCCAUGUCGCCGAGGACGCAGGCGGUGACUCCGACGAGCUCUUCCAUGAGGACUUUGAAAGGGAACUGAGGGUCUGCUGAGACUCGUGAUCUCCAUCCUUCGAUGAACAUCCCUAUUGGUCCCCAUGAAGAAGAAGAUGAUCCUUCUUCUUCUCCUCCGUAACCGCCGUCUCCUCCACCACCUGAGGGUGGAUUACCGAAGUUACUACCACCACCACCGCCGCCUCCGGCGCAUGGGAUUGGGAGGUUUGGGGAAGAGAAGUUUGUGUGGAGUGAGCAUACUGAUCCACUUCGUGGAAACGAGAGGGUGAUUCUUGGAUCGCGGGAGAGGUUGAUCGGUCUCGGCGGAGGUAGAUUCGGAUUCGAUUUCGCUGACAGAUGAAGACGCGCGAUAGCAGCCAUCUUCUCUCAAGGGAGGAUCUUGAGAUAAUCUAAUAGAAAAUGGCUUUGUUCAAUGAUUGAAAGCACGGCGGACACUGUGUUUUGGGAACCUCACCUAUAUUUUAACAAAACCCUACUUCUUGUAAUAAAAACUCAAUCGGCUCAUUUCCCACGUGCGAGUACUAAAAGCAGCUCCCCCACGUGUCAUAAGGCUCAACUACUUCACCUACAUACAAAACCAUGUUGAGCUGACCCACCACCACCACUUUCACCACCACCGUUGUUGAAUUUUUUUUUAUGGGAUACACUAUUUUGGACAAAAGAAUCAUACUUUCAGUCAGGCCUAUGGGUUCGGCUUCUUCGGUUGGUUUGGAAUUUGGUUAGUUAAGAUCGGUCGAAAUCUCAAUCAAAAUGAACCGAAAAAUUUUGGUUUGAUUCGGUUUUCGGUUAGUUGGUUUCAAAAUCUUUUACCUAAAUUUUCGGUUACUUCGGUUAACAUUUUAGUUUAAAUUGAAAAAGAAUUGAACAAUUUCGAUUAAUUUCGGUUUGGAAUUCUGUUAAACUUGAUAUUGUUUGGAUUUUUUUUUUUAAAAACAUAACUAACGGAUUACCAAACUGAACUAAACAAAAAAUCAAUUUUUUUUUGUUACCGAACCAUAACCGAAAACCAAACUUUUCUGGGUCCCUUCGGUUCGGUUAAAAAUCUCAUUCCUUACUUUGUGUUUUUGAAGAUGACAGAUCAUAGUCGGUGUAUUGGGCUUUAAAAGCCCAAACAAAGCCCAUUGGUUUUGUUAAUUGAAUCAGCAUUUUCAAACUCUCAAAUCAUUUGGUGAAGUUUGGAUCUUUGAUACAGAGAAGAGGAAGAAGAAGAAGAUGUCGUUGGUGUGGCUAGAAGCGGCUCUGCCUCUGGGAAUCAUCGGAGGGAUGCUCUGCAUCAUGGGCAAUUCUCAGUACUACAUCCACAAAGCUUACCAUGGCCGUGUAUGCCUUUUCCCCUUCAUUAGAUCUCUCAUAGGCUUUCACGAUUUGAUCCGUCUGGAUCCAAAAGUAUACAAAUUUGAUUAAUUCAAUCAAUAAAUGAUUUCAAAUUUUGGGAUUGAGCAGCCAAAGCACAUCGGGCACGAUGAAUGGGAUGUUGCUAUGGAGAGACGCGACAAGAAAGUCGUCGAGAAAGCCGCAGCUCCUUCCUCAUGAUCCUCCUCAGGUCUGUGUUGUUUCAGAAGCGGUUAGUGUGUCUGGUUUUAUAGGCUCUCGAAAAUGAAGAUGCUUUAAAGCGCGUAAAGAUAUAGACUUUUGGUGGAGAUAGCUACUGUUUAAGUCGUUAUGCGCUAUUGCUUAGCUCUUUGUCUGUUUAAAGGUUUAGGGAACUGGUUUUGUUGCUUGUCUGUGUGGAAAAGUCAAGUCCUUUAGGGGGAAAAUGAAUGUUAUGCUGAGUUUUGUCUGCUUAUCUCUUUGCCUCUUGAGUUUUGUGUGUCUGAGAUUGGUUAAUUGAUGACUUUGCUGUUCUUAUUUUCUCAUAUAGCUGUAGGGAAGAGAUUUUCUUUUGUUAUCGAUGUAACUCUGAGUGAUAUGUUGAUGUGAUGUAGGGGCUAAAGGAUACUCCAGAAGAGACGAAGAAGAAGCCGAAGAAUCUAGUUCUGUUGUUCCUGUUUUGAUUCUGUUUUCAAAAUUGAGACCUUAAUGACAUUUGGUUGAUAACUUGUCUCUUUUUGUUUGUGAUGCAUGUUGUUAAGCUGCAUGACAUUUGGUUUACAACUACACUCUUGCUGUGUGAACGUAUUAUGAAUAAUCUCGAAAAAUGGCUCACCUGAAAACUUGUCAGUGUGGAUAGAAUCCAUCUCAAGUGUGUGUGUUUGCUGGUGGUUAGAAUAAUAGGGGGGCGAUUGUGAAGAUACUUGCGAGUCCAAUGAAGCUUGUGAUGAUGAGUCUGUCUUUGCUACAACAGAAACACUUGAAUCUCAAUGACACACUAUUAUCUUUUGAAGAAUGCUAAAACUCAAAAGUUGAAUAUAAAACAAAUAUAUAUUAUCCACAUUAUAAUCAACUCCAAAUUUGGGGGAAAGUAUAUCCAAAAAAUCAUACAAAGCCGCUUUUUUCUUCACUUAUCCUCCUAAAGCUACACAGCACUAAGCAUUGCAUAGAGUAUUAAUACCACUCAGUGAGGAGGAGGAAGCAAAGGCAUGCUAAAAAUCUGUUAAUCCUCUGUGACAAAUCUAGCGUGUUCCAUCCCAGGAGGUGAUAAAGGAGGAACCGCUGAUUCAGUUCCUAGAAGGUGCCUUGCAGAGAUGCCCUGAGACUCCUUGUCCUUUGAAGUAAGGGACUCAGAUUCUGUAGUUUUCGAAGAGUUGCUUUUGUGCAUUGAUGCUAAGAACUGUUUCUUUGAAAGAUUUGUUGAAGCUGAUGACACAACCGAGCUGAAAACACCAGACUCCUUCAAUGCUUGUAUAACAACCUGCAUUUUACGACCAAAAGUAAAUAACCUUUUACACUUGACACUCCAAAACUUUGUGUUUGGAAAUUUCUGUAAUGAGUUGAUGAGAAGUUUCUUACCAUUGGUGAAUAAAUUCGAGUCAGAAUACCCUUCCUAAGGAGUUUCAUCUUCACUUCUUUGUCGCCCCACACAACAUGUUCACGGUACCUAAAACAGGAUAGGUUACUAUUGUAUCAAGACUCCAUGUUCAAAGAGUGUUAAAAACUUCUCAUCACACAAGUGAACAAGAAAGAAUGCAGUUAUGCGGCUAAGGCUCUUACCAGCUAAUCAUUUCAUCUUCAGUUGCUGUUGACGCAAUUAUAAAUGCCUACAAUUGUUCAUCAUCCAGACGACAUCAUAACAAUAGUAAGUGGAACUGAGUCACAUAUAAUUUUACGAAAUGACUUAAUUCAUGAGAAAAGAUGCUUACAGAUCUAUCAAAAUCCAACAUAAAGCAUCUUUUCACGUCUUCUUUUGUAGGCUUGCAGCCACAUCGAUCACGCCUCGAUGUUAAGUCAGAGAACUUGGCAUAUGUGUAGUGUAAGACAGCAGCCUCCUCCAAUUUGAUCUCACUGCCAAUAAAUAAACAGAUUAAUAUUUACAAAACAUGAUUUGACUUCAUAGCCGUAACUACACUCCACUAUAAAACUCCCUUAUGCUUAGUUACAAAACAUUAGUCUUAUCAUGUUCCUUAACCUAUAGAAAAUUUACUUAUGUAUAUAUGAUCAACGUACUUGGGGGUUUUCAUGUAGUUAUGCCAUCUGUGUGCUCCAUUUGGUCGGAGGUGAUCUUGAACCCUAGCAACUGAUUUGCCAUUACCAUAAGUCAAGAAGUAGUUUGGAUUAUUUCGUGUUGCUUCUUUGUACAUUCCAAAGUAUGUAUCUUUUGGAAGAUGGUCAUAGUUCUUUUUAAACAUUGACACCUGAAUGCAUCAAACAAAAGAAAAGAAAGAAACGUUGAAAACCACAGCUCUUCAAUUUAGUUAAGUAUCUUAGGCUAAAAUGGAGAAACAAGCUGAGUUAUACCUCUGUGAAAGGAUCCUUGAUAUCAUCUCUUUCUACGCUGCUUUCCUAAACAAAACAAAACCCAAAACACUUAUUCAAAUAAGGAACUCUUAACACUCACCAAAGUAAGCACCAAAGUAAGCAAGAAAUGUUUUGACUCACAUAAUUUGGGAAUAUAACCAUAUCCACAUUUGGAGGGACAUCAAGAAGCAACCGUCUCAAUGAGUACUCACGAGCACCUGCUGGGUAUAUCAGCUCAUCUGUGUCAAGGUGAAGGAUCCAAUCCAUGCCCGCAUCCUGAUAUUUUAGCAAGUUUAGAACAACAAAAAGAGUGUCUAAAUAUAACAUGAGACUCAACCAAAAAAUGCUUACCCUUGCCAUGACAAUAGCCAUUUCCAUGUUGAGAGAUUGCUUCACAAAUAACUCAUAAUUACAGGGCUUGUAGAAGAAAGAAGAUAGCCACGUCUCAUUCCAAAUCCGGCUGAUGAAUCAAAAUAAAAAUUGGUCAGUAGCUGAAGAUACAACCAAUGCUAUUGUAAUGCCUUCCCAAAAAAGCUAAAGAUAUGUAGCAGAUAUGCAAUGGUAUAGUUUACUAACCUCUUUGCCUGCUUCUCCUCCAGAUCUUUUGUCCUGUAUAUCACCUUAACCCCCUGGAAGAGACAGAGAACUACGUUUACGGAGAAUCAUUUACCUCAUCAACACCCAAUUGAUACCUCUACAGGACUAAAGAGCUACAUUCAUACAGCUAAAACUAGGAGAUUAGUUAAACUCACAGGAAUAGACUCGAGGACUUUAGAGAUACUGGGCGUAGCAGCUUUCCCUUCAACGAAGAGAAAAAACGUGGAGACGCCAAGAACCUUAUGGUAGAACAUCCAUGGCAGAAUCUGAUCCAAUCCUGCUGAUGUGCUAGUCGUGAUACAUAUCUGUAAAUGCCCAAAUCAUAAAGGUAAGAACUUUACAAACCCAAAGACAGAUCCAAUCAGUCAACAAUCUCUUAGAUCACAACAAGACAAGAACCCAUUCUCGAAACACUUGAAAGCAGAUGACUUUAACGAUUACCUUAGGCUUUAACCAAUGCCCAAAUCAUAAAGGUAAGAACUUUACAAACCCAAAAGACAGAUCCGAUUCAAGACAAGAACCCAUUCUCGAAACACUUGAAAGGAUAUGACUUUAAACGAUUAUACAUACCUUAGGCUUUAAGUUAGAAUCAACACCGAACUUCCAAUCACCGUAGUAAGGAAAGGAAGGGGACGAGCUUCGAGCUAGAUUCGAGCAGUCAGAGGAAGAGGAUUGGUGAGCUUUCGGGGAGACGGAUGAGACAGUCUCCAUCCCAGGAAACACCUCGUGGUUGAGAUCGGAGUUACCGCCGGGGACUGAGGUCGAGGAGAUGACGGAAGCGGAGGCGGGAUCGGCGAGACCACCGCCUCGCCAUUGGAGGAUGAAGGCGAGGCAGGCGAGGGAGACUGGGAGUAGAGUCAAUAGAAGGAGAAGCCUAGAGACGAAAGAGUUGCUCGAAGAGGAGGAAGAUGAUGAUGAGGAAGAGAUCAGUGGAGCUCUGUGCAUCGAUUUCAUGGCGAAUUUGAGAAGAACAAAUCUGAUUCUGAGAUCUAAUCUGUAAAAAAAAAUUGAGGCUUUUUUAAAUCUCAAAUCAUCAUCUCUGUUCUUGAGAGAUUUUUUUCUUCUAUUAGUUUGUUAUUACUUUCCUAUGUUGUCUUAAGAACACAUAAUUAAAAACAUUUCGUUGCUUCUACGCUUUUGUAAUAAAAGCAUCAGUUUCAUGACCAUUGUAUUAAAAGCCCAAUGGGUAUAAUAAUGAUACACGAGUAUAUAAAACCCAGUUAAAUUGGGCCUACACGAAACCCACAACGAAGCCCUUUCAGUUAUCUUCCAUGAGAUGCGUAGAAAAUAGAAAUUUAAUGAAAUAAAUUAGACGUAAAACGUUAAUUUAAUAAUUUCUAUGAUUUAGAUGUUAAUCUGUGAGGUGAGGAUGGCUUGUUUAUGCGAUUCGAAUGAGUGGGGACAAAGUAUCACUCAGUCGCUCAUGCUCACAACCACUUGCUUUACCCGCACCACCGAUACCAGGAAUGGGAAG